RNAcentral lists this long non-coding RNA (54958 nucleotides) under Gossypium barbadense (sea-island cotton). Its description in RNAcentral is "long non-coding RNA (GBAR_LNC007541)". Lineage: Eukaryota; Viridiplantae; Streptophyta; Magnoliopsida; Malvales; Malvaceae. The record is from RNAcentral.
GCAAAGAAUGAAGGUGCUCGUGGUGGAGGUCGUGGUGGGCGAGGAUAUGGACGUGGUGGUAGUGGUAGUGGUGGUUACAGACGUGAUUUUGCAAAUGACGAGAACUUAUUCAGCAAUAAUGCUGUACCUGAAGAUGGAGAGAGUGGAAAACCCUCUGAAAGGCGUGGUUAUGGUGGUCCUCGACCUUACCGUGGUGGUCGCCGUGGUGGUUUCAGUAAUGGGGAAGAUGCAGACGGGGAGCGACCUCGCAGAUUGUAUGAACGCCGUAGUGGGACAGGGCGCGGGUAAAAACAGGAAGCUUUUGUUUAACAUUAGCUUUGAUAUAUUCUGCAUAUCAGUAUUUUAGCCAAGCCCCAAAGCUGAUGCUUUUGUGUUCUGUUCAUGUCUGCAGAAAUGAGCUCAAACGUGAAGGCUCUGGUCGUGGUAAUUGGGGAACUCAGACUGAUGAACUUGCUCAGUGAGUUAUCUGUAGUAGUUACAAUCACAACCUUCAGUUUUAUUGUAAAUCAAUAAAAUAUCACUUUGUUUCACUCUUCUUCCCUUAUUAUAAUCAUAAAAUGAAAAUGAAAUAUUGUAUUUUUAUUGUUAAGGGUGACUGAAGAAGUUGCCAAUGAAGGUGAGAGGAAUUUAGGUGAUGAAAAGCCAGCAGGAGAAGAGGAUGCUAGAGAUGCUAACAAGGAGAGUGCUUCAAACGAGCCUGAAGAAAAAGAGCCCGAGGAUAAGGUAAAUGGUUAUUGACGUCUGCAACUUUUGUUAAUUAUAUAUGAUAGCUGCUAAUUUGGCUAUUACUUUGUUCAACCUUCAUAUUGCAUUUUUAUAGGAGAUGACUCUUGAGGAGUAUGAGAAGGUGCUGGAAGAGAAGAGGAAGGCUCUGCAGGCUCUCAAGAUCGAGGAAAGAAAAGUAGAUGCCAAGGAGUUUGAAUCUAUGCAACAGCUUUCAAACAAGAAAAGUAAUGAUGAGGUCUUCAUCAAAUUGGUAAGACCAUUCGAUUCACUUUGAGAAAUUCAUCGUUAAUGACUCCAUCUUAUUAUUGGGAAAAUAUGUAGUAUUAAUCACUUGUUCCCUAUAAUUGGCUUCUACAGGGAUCUGAUAAAGAUAAGAGAAAAGAGGCUUAUGACAGAGAAGAGAGAGCAAAAAAGGUACUUUACUUAUUUUUAUUGACCUGUGUCAUAUAAUUUGCCUUCCCUUUUCCAGUUUGAACGUCAUUUGUGUGAUUAUUCUGUAUUUAAGGGAACUUAGUUUAUACUGAUGUCAAAGUCUCUUGAUUUAAGAAUUUGUCCCAUCUCUUCCAUGAUUAAAGCUUGCAUAUGUGCUUUCUCCUUGUACCGGUUUGUGCUAGUUUAUCUAUGGCUUGCAUUUAUAUUUUUUGCUGGCACGUACUGAUGGUCACUAUCCAUUUGGUGGUGGUGGGUAGUCUGUCAGCAUUAAUGAAUUUCUGAAGCCUGCUGAAGGGGAGAGGUACUAUAAUCCAAGUGGACGUGGGCAUGGUCGUGGGCGAGGUUCAAGAGGAUUCGGUGGAGGUAAUGCAGCAAGAGAUGUGGCGGCACCAUCCAUUGAAGACCCUGGGCACUUCCCAAUUCUUGGGGGCAAGUGAAGAAGUGAGAUUCCUUUAGAACCCGACAUAUGAUACCCAUGGGUUUUAUUGGAUUUUUAGGUACUUUUAAAUUUUGGGCUGGGAAUAAGAUAAAUAAUCUGGUUUCCUGUCGCCAAAGGAUCUCUGAAUUUUAUGUUGUAAAAUGUAUGUUUCAGGGUUUUUCUUUCUCUUUUUGUUUCUUGGGGGUAUUGCCCCCACUAUUGUUAUGCUUUGAUCGUACUGUCACUGCUCACUGCUCAGUUUUCUUUUGGAAUAGAUGGAACUAUUUUGCUACUUGUUUUCGAGCACUUUAGCAGUGUUUGCACCUGUUGCUUCCCUGAAUCUAAAGAUGAAUUAAUCUCGAUGCAGGGGAAGUAAAGCCUAUGAUUCUCUACCGUACUUCUGCCAUGGCUGCAUUGCAUUGUCUCGACUCGUCUUCCAUGAGACGAGAUGAAGCCAAACGCUUUUAAAUCUUAAUCGUCAAUGCAUGUGAACAUCUAAUUACUGUCUUCAAAUCAUAUUUUUUUCACGUAAUCUUUAAAUCAUAUUGAAACUAUUAGUGUAAGAGCAUAGACGCAAGCAGCGACAUCGCUUUAGGGGUGAGCAAAAUUCGAUUCGAUUCAAAAAAAUAAAAGAAAAUUUUAAUUUCGAAUUAUUCAAAUUGAGUUAAUCGAAUUAAUCGAAUCAACUCGAAUUUUUUUUUUCAAAUUUCGAGUUCGAGUCGAUUUGAAUUCUCAAAUUUAAAUAACUCGAAUAAAUCGAAUAUAAAUAAUAUUUUUAAUUUUUUUUAAAUUUUAAACUUUUACUAAUUAAUAAACCCAAGCCCAAUUAUCCUAAGCCCAAAUAUUUUAUUUUACCCCAUUUUUUUCUCCACCCCAACCCCAAGCCCGUCUGCCUAGAAAUUGUUUUCCCAAAACCCAAUUGGCCUAUUCCUCCCCCAAAUCAAUUCAAACCCCCAUGCCAGCCAAUUCCAAUUAUUUUUCUUAUUCUCUCUGUACUCUGUUUUUUUUUUAUGAAACCCUAAAAUUAAACUCUCUAUUCAAACCCCCAUUUCCAUUAAACUUUUGUUGUGUUCUUUUUUUUUUUGAAGUGUUGUAGGUUUCUAUUGUAUUUUGGACUUUUGCUUAUAUUUUUUUUAUUAUAAUGUUGUUGUUUACUUCGACUCAUGCUGUUUAUUUUGACUUUUAUUUAUGUUUUUUUAUUAUAAUCUUCUUCUAUUUUUUUGUUGUUUUUUUAGACUAAUGUUGUUUAUUUGGGUUGAUAUUGUGUUGCUUGUAUUUAUUCACUUAUUUACUUUAAUUUUUUGUUGUAUGAUCAUGUAUAAAAACUUUAAAGAAUUAUUUUUCUGAAAAAUUACAUAAAAAUAAAUAACGCUAGAGUCAUUUUUUUAAAACUUAACUCGAACAAAUAUAUUCGAUUCGAUUCGAUUCGAAUUCCAUCUCACUCGACUCGAUUCGAGAAAAUUUCAAAUAAAGUUAGGAUGAUAAAAUAAGAUUCGAAAACUCGAUUAACUCGAAAAUUUUCGAUUCGAUUCAAUUCGAUUCGAUUCGAUCGAAUGCUCACCCCUAAACAUCGGAGCUUAGAAAGUUGGAACUGAUUAUUGUCGGAUUUGCGUCAUGAAUCCGCCUUGUUUACUAUUGUAAGUUGUACGUUUUAGGGAAGGGCUGCGUGGUUUAGAUAACAUAUGAAUCAAAUUUUUAUUGUUGGCUUACCUACUCGAAUUUGAAUUUGAAAAUAUUUAAAAUAUGUGAAUCAAUUUUUAAUUAUAUCUAUUUAUUAUAAAGACAGUUUGGAUGUGAUGAGUAAUAAAAUAAUUCUCUUACAUUUUAUUAUAUUAUUUGUUUUUUAAUACCUUACUUGUCAAUUGUUCAAGCAAAAUGUACAUGUCUGUUUAAACUUUGAUCUACAUAUUUUAAAUAUGCUUUAUAUUAAAUUUGACUUAGAAUUUAAUGUUUUAUCUGAUAAGUUAAUAGAAAGAUUUUAUUAAUACGAUAUUAAUAUUUUGAGUACUAAAUUAAAAAUAUGAUAGAGAGUUAAAUAUUUAACAAAAGCAAUAGAAAAACAUAGAAUAAAAUAAGAAUAUGUAUUAAUUGUAAUCAUGAAGAAUAUUGACGUAAUUAUAGUUAAUAACCUUGUCUAAAUGGGACAGCCAAGUCUCCUAAACAAAAUUUAAAUAACAUAUCACUUGUUAAACUAAAACAAUCCCUGUAAUAUUUGUUGAUACAAAUAAUUAACAAGGAAGAGAUGGAGGGGAGUGUCAAUUCACCUGUGACAAACGAAGGGGAAGGGGAGAAAGUCUGGUUGAUGUUUAGGGUUUUUGUCUGCGAAAGGUGAGAUCAUUGGUCUCUCGUGCACUUGGAUAUAUAUAGAGGCUUACCCAUUGUAUUGUUAUGCCAUGUAGCCGAUAGCAUUAGGGUCCAUAUGAUUAUGCGAUCGACCAGGUAUUAUGUGGUCCUGCUCAGACAUACAGUGUACUAUGUGGUCCUACUCAAACAUUCUUAUCCUUGACAUUUUACGAGUUGUUACAUCUCAAUGGUCUCUACAAAGGGUAUACAACGAGUGAUCCCCACGAAGGGUGCGUAGUGGGUUGUUUCUAAGUUGGUUUAGAUAGAAAAUCUGCGGACCAUUUUAAGCGAAGGGUUGUUACUAACAGUCCCUAGUAGAGGGUUGUCAACAAGUUGUUCAAUACGUGUCAUGCUCUUGUAUGGGUAUAAUUGCCUCCCAAGCAAGAGAUAGUUUACAAAGUGGCCUACGUUGAGACUAUUUAGUGAAUAGCUACAAUGGAGAGUUACCAAAGUAAUCCAUGUAAUGGAAGAGGUGGAAUAUGAAAAGUUGUGAUGCUUAUGAGUAUAGAGAACGCUUUAGGAAAAAGGGGGUGCACUGAAUAUUCCAGAAAUUGUGCAUUAAUGGUGGAGCAUUACAACUAUUCUUUGGAAAACGACGCCAAUGAUGGGGUAGACUUUGUGUCCUUUUGUGGGACACGGUCUAGUUGGGUUGCUCCAUAAAUUAUUAGGUCUGCUAGAUUUGAAAUGCACUAUUUUGGGAAGUCCCUUUAAAUAGCCAUGAUUUCAGAGGCUUAAGGUUAUUUGCUUCAUCUUCAAAAUUUCCUAAGUGUUCAAGCCUUCAAGUUUUUCAGUUUUAUUUUUCGUUAUUUAAAUUUUCUAAGUGUUUACUCUUCAGUUUCUCUAUUAUUCUCAUCUUCUUUCACUUUUAUUUUUUCACCAUCUUUGCUUGUUCGGAGUUAGGGUGUAUGUUCAGGGUAAGGCUUAAUUUUUGAAUCUUUUUCUUUUUUUGUUUUGAAUUAGCACCGAUAGCCAAAGGAAAUAAAUGAGAGGAGAUUGGGCCUUAAGAGGCAGUGGCUAAGAAGGUGAAGAAAAUUCCUAGGUUAGAGAGGGAUGUAGUAGUGAUUGGCACUUUUGAGUGCACCAAGACAAAAGAGAUGUCUCGAUUACUCCGAUGCCGAGGGCUAGAGCCAAAGCACUAUCGAUAUGAAUUCAAUAGUCUAAGGGGUGAGUUUUCUCUAAGUGCAAUGAGUAGGCCUAACCAUGGGGGAAAGAUGCAUGGGUUUUACUUGUCGCUAUAUGUGUUAGACGCUAGGUUUCAUUUUCCACUUCACCCUUUUGUAUGUGAGAUUCUUAAUUAUUAUAGGAUAGUUCUGGGACAAUUAGCAGGGUUUUCAUGGUGGGUAAUAAUUAGGUUCUUGUUGUUGUGCUGUGAUUGUGUGGGGGGGAGAGGUCCCCCACUAGUUGAACCAAACAACUCACCCCAGGUUGUUAUACCUCACAAAGCGUCAAAGGUCCCCUGAUAGAAAAUUUGCUCUAUGGGUGGGCCAGCAACUUGAGCCUAGACAGACACAAGUACAUUGUAAUAACCCGAAAGUCAGUGGUGUUGGAAAACACGAUUUCGGAACCCCAUUUCUAUAAAUCAAGACCGUAAAUAUUUACGGAUGUAUAUUGUAGAUUAAUUGAAUUUUGGAUAGACAAUUUUGUUGAAUUAGAGUUUAAUUAAGGUAUAGGGACUAAAUCGUAAAAUUGGUAAAAAUUUUUAUCACUAAAGAAUUUAAUAAUUAAAAAUAAGGAUAGGGACUAUUAUGGCAAUUAUACCAUCUAAGUAUUAUUAUGGCUAGUUUUUAACUAAUGUAUGCAUUUAUAUUAUAAAAAUUUUAGUUUAUUUAAAAAUUACAAAUAAAACAUAAAUUAAAAAGGAAUGAAAUAUAGAUAGUGGAGAAACAAAACAUUUCUAUUCAUUUUUCAUUCAUGCAACCUGAAAACAAGAAGAAGAAAGAAGUUUGGCCUUAGGAUUCCAUUUUUAAGGCUUCAAAUUGGUAAGUGCAAUUUAGUCAUUUUCUUGUAAAUUUUAUGCUUUUGGAGUCCUGAGAGCUUAAUCUUGUUGACUUGUGUGUUAUUUUUUGAAAUUGUUAAAGUUUUAGAAUGAUACCAUUGAUGAAUCUUUGAAGUUUUAGGUACUAAAUUGAUAGAUUUAAAGCUUAGAAGUGAAAAGGGACUAAAUUGUGAAGUUAAUUUAUAGUUUUGUACAAUACAAAACUUAUGGUAGAAAUUUAUGGUAGAAAUUAGAAACAAGAAGUCCUAAUUCAACUAUAGUGAAAACGAAUUGAAAAUAUGAGUUCUAGAUUGAAAGUUAUGUUAGUCUUGGUUUUAGGGACUAAAUUGAAUAAAAUGUAAAAGUUGUAUAAAUUUUCAAUUUAGUGUGAAUUUUAUUUUGUAUUAAUGAAUCGGUCCUAAGGUAGCGAAAUUCCUUGUCGGGUAAGUUCCGACCCGCACGAAAGGCGUAAUGAUCUCACCGGUGACUCUAAUCUAAUGCACUUGGCACCUAAGCUGUUUAUAUUAAUCCGUAGCUAAUGUUGACCUGGAUUCCUAGAAAAAGAAAGAAAAAGACAAAAUUAUCGGCGAAUAGCUCGGAGUUUACGAUUUGUGUUUCUAUAAUCUGAACUGUCUCAAUUGUUGCAUUUAUGAAUUUUGUUGUAUGGUAAGAUCAUAAGGUGAGUUACAAUUGAUAAAAUGGGUUGAAAUGAUUCGAUACGAAUUGGUUGUCUAUGUUAAGGAUUGAAUUGAAUAGAUUUAAAAAUAUUAUAUAUUUUUUAAAUGUGAAGUUGUAUCAAUUUUGUGAUGAUUUAUGUUGAUAUAUACAAGAAUUGUUGAUUGGUUGAUUGAGAUUAUGAAUUGGAAAUUGGGAAUCGAUUAUAAAUGAAUGUGAGAAACUCGUUACCCUAUUGACUAUUAGAGCAGGGUUGGGUAUAAUUGGCAUGCCAUAGGAUAGGAAGAGUUUAGGGUUUUUAUGACUAAGAGUUGAGGAGUGAUGGGCACGCCUAAUUGUCAGUUAUACCGACCAAUGUUGGGCGCAACUUACUAUUUCAAAUUUAUUCGAUUGGCACUGAGUGUCAAACUGGUGUGAUUGGUUGAAUUUGUGUAUCCAUCAAAAUCUGAGUCAGGUUAAUAGGGUUAAAAGUGGAAAUAAAAAUAAUGAAUUAUGAAAUAACUUGAUAAAAAGAUCGAUGAUAUUCAUUUUUAUUGAAAGCUUGGAAUUGAGAUAGACAUGUGGCGAUUUGGGUUGUUGUUGAUAGGCUGACUAAGUCGGCUCACUUUAUCCCCGUGCGUACGGAUUUUUCAUUGGAUAAACUAGCCGAAUUGUAUGUUUCUCAGAUUGUGAGAUUACACGGGGUACCUAUUUCUAUCGUGUCGGAUAGAGAUCCGAGAUUCACCUCACGAUUAUGGAAGAAAUUGCAAGAAGCUUUGGGUACCAAGCUGCAUUUUAGCACCGCUUUUCACCCCCAAACCGAUGGUCAAUCCGAGCGGAUAAUUCAGAUACUUGAGGAUAUGUUGAGAUGUUGCAUCCUCGAGUUCAGUAGUUCAUGGGAACGGUAUUUACCUUUGAUUGAAUUCGCUUACAACAAUAGUUUUCAAUCAAGUAUUAAGAUGGCACCGUAUGAGGCUUUGUACGGUCGUAAAUGCCGUACACCAUUGUUUUGGACCGAGCUCGGUGAAAGUAAAAUUUUCGGAGUUGAUUUGAUUAAGGAUGCUGAACAGAAAGUAAAGGUAAUCCGUGAAAGUCUGAAAGCAGCCACAGAUCGUCAAAAAUCGUAUGCGGAUUUGAAACGAAAGGACAUUGAAUAUCAGGUAGGAGAUAAAGUGUUCCUUAAAGUUUCGCCUUGGAAAAAGGUACUCAGGUUUGGCCGUAAGGGCAAGUUGAGCCCGAGAUUCAUUGGGCCGUACGAAAUUUCUGAACGAGUGGGGCCGGUUGCAUAUAGAUUGAUUUUGCCCCCUCAACUUGAAAGGAUGCACGAUGUCUUCCAUGUUUCAAUGCUUCGACGUUAUAGAUCCGAUCCGUCACAUGUGAUUAAUCCCUCAGAAGUUGAAAUUCAAUCUGACUUGAGCUAUGAAGAAGAACCGAUUCGUAUCCUAGCUCGUGAAGUGAAAGAGUUGAGAAAAAAGAGGGUUCCGUUGGUUAAGGUGUUGUGGCUCAAACACGGGAUCGAGGAAGCAACCUGGGAACCCGAGAGCUCGAUGAGAGAACGAUACCCAAACCUAUUUACCGGUAAGAUUUUCGAGGACGAAAAUUUCUUAAGUGAGGGAGAGUUGUGACAGCCCAAAAUUUACCCUAGUCGGGAAGUGGUUUCGGAACCACAAAACCGAGUUAUGAAGAUAAUUAAUUGUUAUAUUCUAUGUUUAUUAUGUGUGUGCAUGCAUAUGUGGAAGUUUCAUGCCUUAAUUUUUGCCAAUUGCAUGAGGAAUUAUUAAAUAGGGAUCAACAUGAGACAUGGUGAAAGAUGAUAGGCUAAUUUUUAAAGGGGCUUAUUAGUGCAUGUCCACACAAAGGUGGACUUGCAUGUCAAAUUGCCCAACUUUCCUUAUAGUGGCCGGCCAAGGUGGGAUGAUGAUGGGCAAAAUAUUUGUUGAAAUUGAUAUUGGGUUAUGGGAGUUAAUAAAUAAAAGAAAAGAAUGGAAAUGUGAUGAAAAAAAAAAGGGGGGCUUCAUUCUUGUCUUCUUGGCCGAAUUGAAGGAAGGAAUAGGGGCAAAGAACUUUCGGCCAUUUGAGUGUUUAAUAAGGUUAGUAUCUUGUGUUAAAAUUGUGAAAUUUUAGCUUGUUUUAGGUUAAUUAUCAUGGUUCUUACUUAGACCAUGCUAAAUUUUUUUUAAACUUUGAUGGAUGGAUGGACCAUUCGGCUAUGGCUAUUAAAGAAGGAAUUUGAUUAUUUCCUUUAAGUUUUGAUGGAUAAAGAAACAAAAGGUUAUAGAUGGAAGAAGUUAAUGUGUUAAGAGAUUAUAUGAAACUUAUUUAUGUUUAUAUAUGUUAUAUGCAUUGAAAUGGUUAUAGAUGAAUAUGAACUAAGAAACAUGUAUUAUUGAGUAAGUAGAAGAUAGAAUGGGGCUUAAAUGGGAGGUUCAUUUGAUUUAUUUUUGUCCUUGUAUGAAAAGUGGUUCUUUGUUAAGGCCGAAUGAGUCAUGUUAGAUUAGUUGAAAAGAAUGUUCAUGAUAUGAGGUAAUUUGAAUAAUUGACCGAAACAUGGAAGGAAGGGCAAGAUUUAUAAAUUAUGUUUGAGGGUGAAAAGAGUAAUGAAAGUUGUAUUAAGUUUAAUGUGCAUACUUUAGUCUAAGUGUUGAGGAGUAUUCGGCCAAGAUAGUUGAAAUGUGGGUGUUGCCGAUUUCAAAAAAAAUUGAUUAUGGGAGUGGCUAUAAUGGGCACUAAGAUGUUGAACUUAAGAAAUUAGAAGUAAAUGAACUUGAUAGUAUUUAAGAGAUAGAGGUGAUAGAUUAAUGUUGCACAUUCGGCUAUGGUUAGGCAUGUUGAUGAUCUUAUCUUGAUUUAGAUAAUUAGACAUAAAAGGGUGGUAAAGGGGAUGAAAUUGUCGAAUGAUUAGUUGGGUAACAAAAGAAGCAUUCGGCCAUCACUUGAGAGCUUGUGUGAUGUUGGGUUUAAAAUUAGCAAAGGUAACUUACCUAAUGCAUGUGCAUGUGUGAUUAGAUUUUUGAUGAUAUGGUAGUUGCAUGAGGUUAUUAGCCGAAUAUACUAACAUACAUAAGCAUGUGUAAUUGAAUUAUGAAUGUUUAACAAGAUGGUUAAACUAGUGAAUUAUUGAUUAAGCUCAAGGAGCUAAAGGAGGAGAAUCAAGCAAAGGCAAAGAAAAGAUCACUGAGUAGCCGAGUUGGAACCGUCUUACCCAACACAAGGUAAGUCAUUAAGCAUGUAGUUGGUAUUGUUUCAAAUGGUCAUAAUGUUUAUGUAUUGAUGCUGAAUGGAAUGAAUAAAUAUACAUAUAUAUAUAUAUGCAUGUACGUAUGUGAUGAUGAAAUUGUUAAAUGAAAAGAAAAGAGGUAAGAUGUACUGAGUUGUUGAUCUCAGCACUAAACGUGCGGGUAUAACCAUUUAUGACCAUGAGAUUGGCGCUAAGUGCGCGGGAUUAAAUUGUACAGCACUAAGUGUGCGAUUUGACUAUGUUGCACUAAGUGUGCGAAAUAAAUAUGAUGCACUAAGUGUGCGAAUUGACCAUGCGGCACUAAGUGUGCGAGUUUAACUAUGUAGCACUAAGUGUGCGACUUGAUUACGUAGCACUAAGUGUGCGAGUUGAUUAUAUAGCACUGAGUGUGCGGACUCAAUAUACAUUCGUGAAUCAUUAUGGACACUAUGUGUGCGACACUAUUGAGUCGAUCGCGGACAGCGGAUCGGGUAAGUGUCUUGAGUACAUGGCUAAUAGGUGCUAUGCUUAUACUUGGUGUUGAGCUCGGUAAGUUUGAACCUAUGUGACAACCAUACUUGAAGUCACGUACAUAAAAUUUAUCGUAGGAUGGGUGAAAGGCCGUUUAGUCGUUUGAUUGUAACGAAAAUAAAUUGAUUUAUAAAAAUGCUUCAAUGUCCUAUUGAUGAGUAUAUGGAAUGUGAAUGCAUGAAUUGAUAUGAAAUUGAAUCGAUAGGUUGGAGGAACUAUGGUAUGGUUCGGAAUGGAUGGAGUAAUUAGCCUCGUUCCAUUUUGUCUUCUCUUGUGAUAAUGUUAUUGAUGGAUGGUAGUGCAUAGCUUAUGACUUACUGAGUUAUAAACUCACUCGGUGUUUCCUUGUCACCCAUUAUAGGUUGCUUGGACUCAUCUAUUUUUGCGGGGUCAGACCGUCAUCGAAGUCAUCACACCGGAUAGCAAGUUUUGGUACUUUCUUCUUAGUUGGCUUAGAAGAACAUUUUGGCAUGUAUAAGCUAUUACGUUGUGUUCGAACUUUGGCAUGUAAACUUUAAGCCAUGCGAAAAUGGCACGAAUGUUCGAUUGAGUUGGAUCAAGGGUAGGCAUGAAAUGUACCUAGUUACUUUCGUAACAGAUGCUGGCAGCAGCAGUGUCAUGAGAUUGAAAAAUCACUAAAAAUAGUAGGAGUGGAAUUAAUUGAUGAAUAAAUUAUGUAAUCGAAGCUCAAUGAGUUUGUUUUCAUGAGGAAGUAACGAAAAGAUCAUAUGGGCAGUAUAUUAAGAGAUAAUCAGAUUUUUGUGGGACAGGGCCAGAACGGUUUCUGGAUUCCCUGCUCCGACUUUGGAAAUUCAUUAUAAAUUAACCAGAGAUAAUUAGGGGUCGUAUCAUAUAUGUAUAGAUUUCUCUCUGAGUCUAGUUUCUAUAGAAACAAACAGAAUCAGUAUUGGAGCCCUGUGCAGGGAGAUAUCCAAGUCGUAAUGGGCAAAGGUCAGUGUAGUCGACCCCUGCAACAUGGGAGACUUUGACUAAUAAACUGUACUAAUUGGCCCAACCAAAAAUUCUAGAAAAAAAUACAUAGAUGGGAUCAUGAGUCUAUUUUCUGGGAAAAAUCACGAAACUGAUUUUCGAGUUACGAAACUCAAGAUAUGAUUUUUAAAAUGACUAGUACACAGAUUGGGCAGUGUCUGGAAAAUAAAUUUUAUAAGGGGUUAAAGUCAGUUAACACCUCGUGUUCGACUCCGGUGUCGGUUUCGGGUUCGGGGUGUUACAGUGUGCCACUGAAAUAUAGGAUGUAUAAGAAGCACACAGUUCCCAAUUGAUACAGGGGCUGGCAACACGCCCACGUGACUACUUUAGUUAUGUCAUUUAGUUUUCACACAGUUUCAAUUUGUUACACGGCCUAGCCACAUAGCUAUGUGACUUUUGUUGAAUAUUUGCAUUUUGACUCACACGGCCAUAGUAAGUUACACGGCUUGAAUACAUGGUUGUGUGACUCUAAUUCUACACAAUUAGAGCUUGUUACAAGGCCGUGUGACCCCUAUUUGCACAAUUUCCCUUCUUUUUGUAAAAGUUUCAAAAUGAUCAUUAUUUGAUGUCGGGUCAAUUCAAGAGCUUUUGUAAGCUCAAUUUAAACCAUAUUUUGUUUGCAAAGCAUGACUUAUUUGAAUAUUUGUAUUUAUUUAAUGUAUAAUUGAUUUUUUUAUUUAUGAACCACGUGUAACUGUUUUGUUAAUUGUUGUAGCAUCUUGUCACUCGGGUCUGACGACCGAACCGGGUGAGAGGUGUUACAUACAUACUUGUGGAAUGAAAGUUUGGAGAUAACUUUGUUUUCCUUAUUGAGUGGCCCAUGCAACCAAAUGAUUUAUGUAAAUUUAGGCUUUCAUUAGAAAUUUAUGGAGGAGGCUGAAAAGCAGUUUAAUGACUUGAGAAUGGAGGGUUUCAUUGUACUACCUUAUGAUAUAACAAUUCAUAGAAUUUGAAGCCCUGUCUUGGUUGAGUAAUUCCAUUUGGCUUCCAUAAUAUUGACUUCUACUGAAGGUUCACCAAUGACGAUAUAAGGGCGCCCUAUACCCAUGCCUAGACACACAACAGUGAAUAUGUGGUGUUUGGGAUCUUGUUUAGCCUAGAGGAGAAGUCGUGGUUGUAUGUAGUACAUUUUGGCCUAUGUCUUGAUCGUAAGUGAGGGGCCCCUAAAGGCGUAACACAUGUAACAUUAUUAGACCCUUCUGAGGUUGAUGAAUGACAAUAUAAUAUAGGAAAUAAAGCCUAGAAGCUAUCUGGGGGUCUAGGGCUAAUGCACACACUACCGCGAAACAAAUUAAUGUUAGCACUAUUGCUGGUGCAAGAACCAGUUGAUAAUUUGUAGCAUGUUCUUACUCUUAGGCUUUAGGUGAGGAAAUAACUUCUGCAACUUCCGUUCAUGUGAUUGAAAUUUCCUUAGAUAAGUAGGAAGCUUUUUUGGAUAUCCCUACAUUAGGAAUGACUAUAUAUGUGCAUACCCUUUGGGAAUUCAUUAACUAGUAGGAGUAGGAAAAUCUGUGAUAGAGGGCUUAUAUAAGAGGGCUGAGAAUUUUAGUUGUAUCUUUCCACAAUUAUUUUAUUUUUAUAACUUUUGAAAUUGAGUUGUUGCUUUAAGUCUGAUUGUUUGUUUUGCUUGUGUAGCUACUUCGACAAUCAUAAUCGGAGGGAUGGAUUCUAAUUUUAUAGACUGCUAUUCCUGUCCCCAACAGGAAGAGAGCUAACAACCCUUCAAGUGAUCAAUCAAAAAGGGGUAGGACCAAAACUACAAUGGUUCGUUCUUGCGAGGUGGUGAUCAAUGAGCCAUCUCCUACUACAACUACUUCUAGCACGCUCGUUGUGACGAGCUGAGGUGUAUUUGGGAGCCUCUUUAGUGAUUAUGUGUUAGGAUUUAGUGCCCUUAGUGUAGUUAUUUCAUCAUAGAUAUAUUUGUAAUUUUUCGAAUAGAUUGGUUUAAAUAAAAUUCCAUCAUUCACAUUUUUAUUGUUUGUAUUUGUCCUCAAUGGUUUUUACAUGCAAAACAAAAUGUAUAAGCAAAUAUUGGCUCACUGAUUACCUUACAUUUGACUAAUAUUAAGGUGCAGUAUGUGGUCGGAUCAUAAUGCAAGAAGAUAACUUAUAUUAGUAGGUAAUCUAAAUGGUUUGUAGUCUGAUAAAUCGAAAUCGAGCAAAUCAAUUCAAGAAUACUAUGUUGUUUAUUAAGUCUAAUUGGGGGAUACCUUGUUUUAGGUAUUGGAGUGGAUAACUCUCAAAAGAUAGAGACAUAAAUGUAACUGACUAGACUGACAGUACAUCGGAUUGGACCCAAGUAGAAUAGAUCCUAGAUUUGUUUAUGGAUUUAUUCACUUGUGGCAUUCAUAGUGUGACUUACCUUAAUCCCGAGCAAGUGAUGCGUUGUGUGUGCACGACUUGUGUACUUUGAUGUAUUGAUAACUUGUGUUAAAUUAGUAAUAGAGUUGAAAGUUGGUUCGUUGGAUAUACGACUUUUGCAUGACAUGGCUUCAUGUACAAUAGUAGAAUUCAUAACCCAAUAAAGGGUAAAUGAUAUCCUUUCGUCGGCAUUACAUGAUAGGUGGGAAACGAGUCAUUUGUCUUAAGAUGAAUUAUUUAAUUACUAUUUAUUAGUAAUUUAUUUUUCAUGAAGUAAGAUGUAAUGAUUACCAUGAAAUAAAAUAGGAUCAUAUUGAGAGAACAAAUUUAUCCCAAAGAGAUUAAAGAUAUCCUAUGAGGGUACCACAUAUGACAAGGUCAUUGGACAAACAUUUAGUAAAGUAACUUUUGUAAUGGUAUAUAAUAGGGAAAGCUCAGUCAUGGGACUUUAGUGGAAUGACUUCAUGACUAAAUAAUGUUGUAAUUAAAAGACAAAGAUUUGAAACUUAUUUAAAAAUUAUUUGAAUCCUAAUUAUAUAUGUCUAACCGGUUCCUCUGUUAGCUUGAUAUAACUUUGAUGGUUUGCAUUAAUCGAUGAAAUGGAAACAUGUGAAACAAUGGACUAAAGAAAUAGAUCGCAUGUAUCACUAUCUGCAGUGAAUGCGUUUUCUCGCUAUAAACAAGAAGUGACUCAAAAAUUAAUUUAUAUAUUUGAAUUAUUAUUAAAUUAUUCUAAAAUUAAAUAAUUAAAGUUUGAAGAAGAAAUUAGAUUAAUUCAAUCAACGUAGUUUCUUAAGAACAAGAUUAAUUAAAUUAAUUUACUCAAAUUUUAAAUAGGUAAAGUGGUCAUGACUUUAAUUGAAUUAAAUUUGGGUUGAGAAAAUAAUUUAAUAAGUAUAAUUAAUUAUAUUAAAUGAAAAAGUAAUAUUUUUGACAUAAGAAAAUAUUUAUUGGUUUUGAAAUAUCUUCAAUAAUUAUCCCACAACUUCCUUCAUAUCCAAGUAAAAGAGUCAGCCUGGUCUCCAAAUAAAAAGAUAAGGACAAGCAUAAAGAUAAGGAUAAUGAUAGAAUAAAACAUAGCCUGAGAAUAAUUUGCUAAUAGUGUAACAAUCAUGAAAAUCAAAGUAAAAAAAAUGCCAACUUUAUAAUGUAGUUCAACUAUCUUAAAGACGUAUACAAACUGUUGUUCAAAGGUUUGUCCAAACAACUGUUCAAACAAGGACAGAACAUAGUGAUAAAACAUGUAAUUUGAGAAACUAGUCAAACAUGAGAAGAUACUUCAAAUACAAGACAACUAAGAUCCCAACAUUUUUCAUCUUUCUAUUCUUUCACCAUUCAAUUUUCUAUCUUUUUUUAUUUCCUUACAAAGGAAACACAUGCCCUUGGAUUCUAUUUUGCCGCUGGGCAUCCCAUGAUUAAGUUGAAUUUGGGUGCGUAGUUGGGUGGAUUGGUACUUGUGGCUGUUGGUAGGUCACAUGAGAGAGGAAUUCAAGUAAUAUUGUUGGUGCUUGACCUUGAGGAAGUGGACCAACAGGGCCCUUGUGUCAUAUAAUUGGAGCUUAAUUUAGGCAUGAUACAGGGUGGGAGGUUUAUGUGCCCUUACGUUAUGUAAUUAUCAGCCAUGGCAUAAAAAAUUAUGGUCUAAUUAAUUCUGCUAGUCAAAUACUUUCUGGAAAUAAAAUCUCUUUGCAAUUACAAAAGGUAUAAUUGUUUCAUAAUAGUUGUAAUUUCAUCCAAUUAUUUUGCUUUCAAAAUCCAAUCACGUUGAAUUCCAAUUGAAAAGUAAAAUCUUUCCAACACUUUUUGUUUGUUCACAAAAUUUGAAUUCAAGAUAUUAAUUUACUAGACUCAUUUUAAAGUAUUUUGUAUAAAGUCUUUGUACUCUUUUGAAAUUUAAAAUUGAUCAUAUAUUUUAUUUUUGAGAUAUUAAAUCCUAAUACUUUUUAUUUAAAAAUUAUGGUCUCUCCAUUUAACUCUAUCAUUACUAAUGUGAUAAUUAGAAAAUAAAUAUUAAACUCUCAAUAUUUAUAAUUUUUUUAUUAAUUUAAUCAUUGCUCUUUAAAAGUUAACAAUUUUUUAAUAUAAUAUAUAUAAUCUUCUUCCUUUCUCCAUAAAUAUUUGUUACACUACAACUCUUUUUACUAGGGGUACGUUUGGUUCACUGUAAUAGAAGAGAGCUGUAAUUGAAUAGAGCUAUAAUCAGUAUUUCAACUGUUUAGUCGAAUGGAAUGAUGUUGUAAUAGAAUAAAAAAAAAACUAAAAUGAUCAGAAUACCCUUAGCAAAAAAAUUUUUAGGUAGAUAAUUAUUGCUAUUGUUAUUAAAUUUUAAUAAGAUUAUUAUUAAAAAUAAUUUAAUAAAAAUAAUAAAUAAUUUAACCAUAUUUUAACAUAAUUAUUAUUAAGUAUAAUUUAAUAAAAUUCUUAAUAUAAUUAUUAUUAUAUGAAUUAAAAAAAUCAUAAUAUAUAAUACUAUAAAAACUAUAUAAUCUACUUUAUUAUUUUUAAACUGCACUACAUAUUUAAUGUGCUAAAAUAUCAUUAGUGAAACAAAUAAUUUAAUUAUUCUACAAUAAAAAAAUAAAAUAUUAGAAGUAAUAAAUAACUUGAGCAUUAUAUUUCACAUCCAAACAUAAUAUUCAUAUAUUAACAAAAAGUUACAUGAUUUCAUUAGUUUAUAUGUCAUAAUCCAUAUGUUAUAAAAUUUUACAACCUCAAAAAGUUACAACAUUGUAAUGACAUCCUAUCAUGUCAUUAUAUCAUCCAAAUAUUACAAACACAAAAAGUUACCAAAAUAUUAUCAACACAAAAAAAUUUUCUAACAUUUUUUUCAACUCAUUUAAAUAACUGACUUUAAAUCCCAUAUCAACAUUAAAGGUUCCAAUAUUGUGCAAGUCGACUAUACAGGCAACCAACGCAGCAUCUUCUUCUGGAAGUCAUUUCCUUUUGGAUCCUCGAGAAUUUUGGGAAGAAACACUUGCUUGUGAAAACCCUGACAUAACUAUCUUAAGAAAAAAAAACAUAAGCUCAAUAUUAUGAAUCAAAAAGUCAACACUUUAUAAAAUUAUAACACAUGAUGAAUCAAUAGAAAAUAAAUUAUAAUUCAACAAGUCUAGUACAAUACAAAAAACAAUUCAAACACCACCAAAGUUUCAUAAACUAGAUACAUGAAAUAACAUAAACAAAUUAAUGUUUACUACUUUUAUCCUAAACCUAACUAAUUUCUAGAUGUUUGCCAUUCAUCGAACAUUUGGUUGGCUAGUUCCAUCCUCCAAGUAGCCCAUGCAUCUGAUGGAUGAAUAUUUACGAUAUUCGGUUCAUCGUCAUCUAUCACAUUACUAGGUAAUCCUUCUCCCAACUCCGCUUCAAUAGGAUCAAGACUCAUAAAGGUUUGAAUAAAAUUAUGGAGCAAACAACAUGCAAUAAUGAUUCUAUUGUGCACCAUCACAGGAUAAAAUGAUGGACUCCUAAGUAUUCCCCAUCUAAGUUUUAAUAACCCAAAGCAUCUUUUAAUAACAUUACGCGUUGAAGCAUGUUUCAUAUUGAAAAAUUCUUCCGGAGUACUUGGCUGGUAACCCUGACGCCACUCAUUCAAAUGAUAUCUUUGUCUUCUAAAAGGUGCAAGAAAUCCCUUACAGUUUGUGUAUCCAGCAUCAACUAAAUAAUAACAACUUAUAAAAAAAAACUGUAACAGCCUAAUUUUCAGUGGUAUUGGGAGUAGAGAUUUGAGAUCACUAAAUUCGAUGGGUGAGUUGAAAAUUUAAUAAAUUAAUACCUAUGAGCCAAAUGUGAAUAUAAAAACAUUUUUGAAUUAGUGAAUUUGGUGAUUUAAAAGAAUUAAUUAGGUAAAUUAGGUCGAGAAUGAGGUAUCGAGACCUCAACUUCAUAAAUCGAGCCAUAAAUAUUUAAUAUUUAUGGAGUGUUGGUGAGGUAGUAAUAAAAUUUAGUCAGAAAAUUUUGACGUUUGGGUGGUUAAUUAAAUCAAAAGGACUAAAUUGAAAUGAGUGUAAAAGUUGCUAAAAGGAUUAAAUAGCUCAAUUGUCAAAUGAGGAAGGACCUAAAGUGCAAAUAAGCCUAAAGGGGAUAUUUUGGGCGGCAAUAGCUGAGAAAAAUCAGGAAAUGAGUGAAAUAAGGGCAAAAUUGGAAAAUUGCCAAAAUUGGCUAAAUAAAAAUGGGACUAAAUUGGAAUAUCUAGAAUUCUCUUCAUUUCUCUUCAUAUUCAUUAGCUGAAAAAUAGCCAAGGAGGAGGGUCUAAGUUGGUUUUCAUACUCCAGCUUCAUGUAAGUUUAAUUCUUGCUUUCUCCUUGAAAUUUUUAUGUUUUUGGAAUUUUACAAUUGGGUCCAACUUACUAUUUCAUUAGUUUUUGAUUCCAUGUCUAAUUUUUGAAGUUUUUAUGGAUGAAUUCUGGAAGUAUAUGAUGAUUUGUCAUGGAAUUAGAGUUUUAAAUUGUUUAUAGUCUGAUUUUAUUGAAAGAAUUGAAUAGAAAGUGAAUGUUUGGGACCUAAUUGUAAAAGAGUUUGAAGUUAGAGUUUCAUGUGGAAAUUCUGAAUUUAAAUAGUUAUGAAAUAACUUAUAAUGUCUAUAAAAAGUAUUAAUUGAGAAAAUUAUCUUAAUUGAGGGGUUAAUUGAGCAAGGACUGAAUUGUAUGAAUUGUGAAAUUGGGGUAAAAUAGAAAUCAACAUUUUGCACUAAAACUGUUUUGGGCAGCAGCAGUAGUUUAACUUUGAAAAAUCACCAAAAAUUUUAGAAAUCGAACUAGAGGAUGAAUAAAAUAUGAAAUUAAAGCUUAUUGAGUCUAGUUUUUUAUAAAAGAAAUUAUGUAAGCAAUGGAAUUGUAAAUCAUGAGAUCCAAUAACUUUUGUGAGACAAGGUCAGAAUGAUAUCGGGUUCCCCUGUUCUGAAUUUGGAAAAUCAUAAAAAAUUGGAUAAAAAUAAUUAUAGGCUUAAAUAUAUAUGUUUAGAAUCCUGAGUGAGUGUAUUUUUAAUAGAAACAAACGAGGACAUCAUUCGAAUCCUGUACGAGAAGAUAAUUAAUUUUUAGUGAAUAAUGGUCAAAACUGUCAGACAGCAGAACAGGGGAGACUUCAAUGAAUAAACUGUAUUAAUUGGCCCAACCAAAAAUUAUAAAAUUUUUAUGGUAAGAAUACAUAUGAGUCUAGUUUCUGGAAAAAUUUAUGGAUCUUAAUUUGGAGUUCUGUAGCUGAAGAUAAAAAUAAUUUAGUGACUAUGACACAGAUGAAUAGAUUGAAUAUUCACAUAAGUAGAUAGUGAAAAUUAUGGAUAAUGUUACCUACAAGUGUGUUGUUUAUACUAAGGAUGUGGAUGGAGAGGAGGAGGAAAAUAUACAAAAAUAUAUGAAUGACUCUUGUAUAAAUUGAUCACAUGUCCGAUUAUAAUCGAUAAGUGUUGGAUUAGAAAUGAUAUAAUGUUUUAUUUGGAAUAUUUAUUAUGAAAUUAUGAUUAUCGUUAUAAUACAAAAAUUGAACUUGUGAAUUUAUAUGGUUAAAUUUUAGUGAUUAUUUGUUAAUUUUAUGAAUUUCAUGAUGUAUUAUUUCAUAUGUAUUGAUGAUAAAAUCGUGAAUAAUGUAAAAGCAUGAAAAUUGAAUAAAUAAUCAAAUUGAACAUUUCAGUUCAGUGACAAGAUGAAUUGAAGGAAAAGACCAUGGUUAGACCAUGGCAACAAGUGAUAAGUGAUAGCUUCGGCUACACUUAUCUGAUCAAGGACAAAUGAAAGUGAUAAGUAGUAGCUUCGGCUACACUUAUCUGAUCAAGGACAAGUGAAAGUGAUAAGUGAUAGUUUCGGCUACACCUAUCUGAUCAGGGACAAAUGACAAGUGACAAGUAGUAGCUUCUGCUACCUGAUCAGUGAAAAGUGGUGGCUUCUGCUACCUGAUCAGUGAAAAGUGGUAGCUUCUGCUACCUGAUCAGUGAAAAGUGGUAGCUUCGGCUACCUGAUCAGUGAAAAAUGGUAGCUCCGGCUACCUGAUCAGUGAAUAGUGGUAGCUUCGGCUACAAGUGACAAGUAAUUUCCGUAUAAGACCAUAUCUGGGAUAUGGCAUCGGUGUGAUAUAUGCUAUUGUAUAAGACCAUAUCUGGGAUAUGGCAUCAGUGAGAUAUGUGAUUUGCGUAAGACCAUAACUGGGCCAUGGCAUCGAUAUAUGAAUAUGUGUAAGACCAUAGCUGGACUAUGGCAUCAUUAUGUAAAGAUGUGUAAGACCAUAGUUGAACUAUGGCAUCGACAAAACGAAGUACUCAAUUCCGUAAAACGUUUAUUAAUUUGACAAAGUUUGGUAAGUGUUACAUGGAAUUAUGUGAUACAAGGAAGUACGAGUUGAUAAGAUACGAGUAUAGAACUUGGUUGAUAAAUGAAUUCAUUUGUGAUUAUAUAAUUGUUCAUCUUGAAUGUACUAUCCAUAUGUAUUGAUAAUUCAAAUCUUUUAAUGAAUAAAGUUCAGACAUGGAAUAAAUUGAACACGAGACAAAUAAUCAUGAAAUUAAACUCGAAAUUCAUGAAAAUGACGGUUAUUGAUAUAUGGAGACAUGAGACAUUGAUAUAUGAAUAUGGAAAAUGUUUGAUAAAUGUGUUUAUUCAUAAUUAUGGAAUUAUAUACCUCAUGUGUACUAUUUGCAUAAAGAUGAUAUUUUAAAUACUUUGGUUAUUUAAGCUUAAAUAUGAAAUAAUAUGAAAUCAAGAUAAGUUGUUAUGAAAAUAUAUUUAGAUUACAGAGAUAUUUUGAUAUGGCUGAUAUAUGUUGUAUGGUUACAUAACGUGAAAUUGUGUAUAUAUAUGAGAAAUUUAAUGAGAAUUGAGCCCAUACACGUUUCUUGUUAUUUAUAUGAAGUGUACGAUUGACAAGGGCGAUGAAGUUAUAAACAAAGAGUUACACGGGUUGAAAACACGAGCGUGUGACUCUCCAAAGUGUGAAAAUUUUCUAAGUGUUGCAAAAGUUUCAUAUGUUUACGGUUUGGUCCCGAACCACCCUAAAUGUAUGUUUUGGGCCCCGUAGGCCCAUAUAAGGGACGUUAAACAUAUGUAUGAAAGUUUUUAAUUUAGAAGAAAUUUUAUGGCUGAUUUUUACAUGAUUGAUCAUAUUAAGUUCGGUAAUGCCUCGUACCUUAUUCUAGGCUCAGAAUACGGGUAGGGGGUGUUACAAAAACUAUUUGUCAUGGUUAAUUUCCCAAAAAAUUAUGAUAUUAAAGAUUUAUUCAAAGUCCUCUAAUUUUGCACUUUAUGAUAUUAAAGAUUUUUUCAAAGUCCUCUAAUUUUGCACUUUACUAUGAGGAACUUUUAGUCCAUGUCUCCUACUAAUGGCAUUUCGAAGAACCCGACCAUCAUUAACAGAACCUUCCCAACCAGGAAGAACAUAAACAAAAUGCAUAUCAGGUGUACAAAUACCUAACAUAUUUGUUGCUAUGUCACCUUUUCGCGUUCGAUAGCUAGGUUUAUCAACUGUUGAAACCCAAAUCUUGAUGUGGGUUCCAUCUAAAGCACCUAAGAAAUUCUACAUCACAUGUAUAAAACCUUGAGUUAGGAUACUAUAUUUAAAUCUAAAUCAACUAAAUUAUGUACGAGCUAUAUAUAGAACUCACUCUAAUACCUUGAACCAUUUCCACCUUGGGUCUGUAUAAUUAGCUGUAAUUGGCUCUGUCUUUUUAAAUAGCACAUCUUGUAAGCGUAUGACAGCAUUUAAAACAUUGUGAAAUUAUCUGCUAACAGUUUCCCCAAACCUAUUAAAGCGAUGCUUGAUAAUUUGAUUUUUAAGAUAAUAUGAAAUGAUAUUUAAAAACAUUGCCACUUGCUCAUCAAUAAGCAUGUUCCUUGACGACUUCAAUCCCCUUAAAGUUUGUAACAUCUCACAUAGUUUAAAAAAGGUAAUUCUAUUCAUCCUAACUUGUUCGAUACAGGUCUCGUCACUAGCAUAUACAAGUCUUUUCACAUAAUCUCGUUUUGCAUAAAAAUCUAAAAUAUAGGAUCUAAUCCUUGGUCUAUAAGUAUGUAGGCUAUAGAUGGCACCCAAUGUAAGUAAGAACCAAUUCGCAACUAUACACAUUUGCAACCAUAUUGUCAAUGCAAGACCAAUUCUUUUACGCCUCACACUUUUUACUAUUAACGGCAAACAAGCCAUUACUGCAAGAUAUUAAAGUGUUACAUAUCUUCAAAUCAUAGUAAAAGGGUUACAGUUCUUCAAUACUAAUUUCAAUAACAGUAAAACAAAAUCAAAGAAUUUAAUUUUUAAAGAACUUACAGUGGUUCAGUGAAUACAAGAAGCUCAACUGUAGGUGGAAGAAGCAAUCAAGCAAGUCAAAGAAGAAGAGGAAGCAAUAACACACUAUCAAAGAAAAAUGAACAAUACAUAUUUAUCAAAUUUCAUUCAACAAAAUCAACUCUUUGUUUAGCAAAUAAUAAUGUCUUGAACAUUAAAAGAGAAAUUAAUAAUGAACAUCUAAUCUUGAAAUACAUCCACAUCCAAAUUACAUAAUUUCUAGUGUUGUCGAAAUAUACAUAUAUUAUAUGAAACUUUUUAAUUUACCUUUUAAAAAUUCGAUCUUUAAUUUACCUUUAAUUCGAUCUUUAAAAGUUGAUUGUUGACCAAUUUCUAUAUCUACCGAGAUUAUAUUAUUUUUGUCUAAAUUUUAUAAUAACAUUAUAUUUAUAAAAAUAUAAUUAUUGUUUUUUUAUUGUAUAUAAAAAUAAAACUAUUAUAAGUAAUAGAAAAAGAGUUAUUAAGUUAUUAUUAUAAAAGUUAAAUACAUCCAUUUUCUUUUUCCUUCCCCCCCCCCCAAAAAAAAAGUGAUGGUGUCAUUGCUUUUUUGUCAAGUUUACGAGGAAUUUUCCACAUUAUAUGAAUCACUACUAUUUAUGAUGUUUUUUUAUAGAGUGAAUAAGAUUUUUCUUUAUUGAAAUCUUGUUGUCAUUCACGUGCUUUCCCACAUUACAUUACAUUAUAAAGUGAGUAAGAUUGGGGGGAAAAUUCAACACUCCCGAGAUAUAUCUCUUGGAUUGGGGAAAAAUUGGAAAUUCAUCUCCAUAACAAAUUAGCCUCUUAGCCUUACCAAUAGCCUGUUAAAUUUAGUUGUGAUUGGAUGAGUAGAUAUCCAACUGCAGUAGGACUGGACUAAUAUCAUCACCUGAUCAUGAUAGCAAAAAGGAAUCAAGUCUAUUAAAAAUUUGAAAAUAAUUAUUUAACAAAGUGGCAAACAUUUAAAAUAAAUAAAUGAAUUUAAAUAACUAAGAUGCAUCAUCAAACUGCAGGUCAAAACCUACAGCUAAAAAUGCCAAAAAAAAUAUAGCACAUAAACAACAUUUUGCAAGAGAACAGAAAAGAUACAUGAAAAAUGCACUUAAAUGGGGGCAUGCAUUGAAAACUUACCUAAACAAUGCCCAGAACAUCAAUAAGCCUAUACCUUGCAGAGGAAACGAUAAAUGCAAAGAAAGAUUAUAGCACUACAAUAGAAUUUUCUCCACUAAUGAAGAUGGCUAUUUCAAGCAAACAAAUGGCUUUGAGUUUUAAUUGAUUUGUGCAUUCAUGAAGCUAAGAAGAAGAGCACAUAUGAAUUUCUCGAUGGACAUUUCCUCUGCAAAGAGAUCACAAUGAGUUACAUAUCAAGAAACUACCAUUAUAGAGAAACGCCAGUACAGAGAUCAUAAGCAACCUCUAACACCCAACAAUACUCAAAAUGAAAUAUUUUAUAUCAAAUGUAUGCCUCACUAGCUUUGCUGGUGAAGAAUUGAAUAAAUAUAUAAUCUUAGGGAAAAAAAGUAGUCUGAAAAAGAGACUCUCGCCAGAUUACUUUUGCAGUAAAACCUGUUUUAGCAUUUACUAAAUCCAACCGGAGAUUUUUAGAAUAUUUUUACCGAUUUAAUACGCAUAGAAAUGAGCUGCUUAAGACUGCAAAAUUUAGGUUAGAGAAAGUGAAUAAACUGACAGCUAACUUUGUCAAUACUGUAUGAACAUAAAUCUCAUAAGAUGAUAACUGUUUAGACUUAAUAAAAAUUGGAAGACUUUGAACUUUUGUUUUUAUUAAAACAUGGUAUUCUACUUGUGCUGGAAAGGUUACACUCUGGCAUUCCCCUUCCUUUGUCUUUUUUUUUUAUACCUCAUAAUAAUAAUCUACUUAGAAUUCAGAUUGACUUUGCAUCACUGGUUUUAGGCAUCAUUUACCCUAUAUCAAAUCAACAAAUUAAGCUAUUACUACCAUUUUCAAGGAACUAGCUUAACUAAUCUCAAAGGUUCUAACAAACCCAAUUUACAAAAGCUGCAAAUAACAAGUAUAGCUUAAAUUAAGUUGUCCUACUAUUUUCCAAUUUGAUAACUGAAAAAACAUGAUUUCUGCUAAGAGUAAGCAACAGACAGUAUAGAAAAUAAAGAAAAGAGCUGGUUGUAAAGUAUUCAUUUAUGUUGAAAGAUCAAAAAUAGAUAAUCCAGAAAUGAACAAGAAUGAAGGGACGUGCCUGGGCUUAGAAAUGCCAGUUUUGUUUCUGUUUUAGUGAGAACGUCGAGAUACUCUUCUUCUUCAAGGCUCUACCAUUGUUUCUUUCGAUGAAUCAAACUUAGAUGAAAUCUAUAAUAAGAAAUUGUUUCAUAAAACAGAAAUAAAAAGGCAAAAGACAAAGUUCAGGUUAAGAUUCAUACUUGAAAAACAGUCUACAAUGAAACAAGAGAUUUUGAAAAUCACAAAAAAAAGGAACGACUGAGAAAACUUCUCUCUUUCGAUAAUGGGUUGGACAGCUAUGUUAUUUACCAAUACAGUUCCGAGUUUCUGACGUGAUUUCAAGUUUGAUACUUUGUUUAUUAAAAAAAUCAAAGAUGAUGGUGAAGGAGGCAGUAACAAAAAUAAGCAAAAAAAAAUUGUGGGUAAUAAAAAAAGGCAGACAGGAAAAUUAAAGGAACAGCAGAAGGAAAAAUGUUUACCUGACCUUGGAUGAAGGGGAAGAAUGCCGGAGUCGAAGGAAGCAAGAAAUGGCUGCCGAUUGAGUGUUUUUGAGGUGAGAUUUUGAUAAGGGUAAAAUAUGGUUUUACAAGCAAGGAAUAGGUAAACGGUGAAGAGGGUAGGGAAUAGAAAUCCUUAAAAAUCUCUGCUUAAGCCCAGAAUGGAAUACAGCUUUAAUAGGGUAUUCCAUUGAACCAAAAGUCGAUUUAUGUGGGCCUCCAAAAUGGGGUUGUAAUAGGCAUGUAAUGGCAUAGCCAUUACCUUCAACCAAAUAUGUCGUGGCAUUUUCCUGCAUAUCUUCCUCUCAUAUUGCUUUACUUUUCAUAAAAAAUAAUAUUUUAUAUAAUUUUCAUCCUACAACUAAAACCUUAAAUUGUAAGUAUUAAGGGUUAAAAAAGUUAUUCUAUCUAUUUUAUAAUUGCCAUAUCUAUUUUAAUUGUAAGUAUUAAGGGUUAAAAAAUUUAUUCUAUCUAUUUUAUAAUUGCCAUAUCAACAAAAUUAAUGAAAAAUGGACAAAGGGAUCAAAAUUUUUAAAUAAAAAGUUGUUGAGUGUUUUUCCGUUCUAUCUUAUUGAAGGGGACAAUCAAAUAUUUAUACACAUGAUUACUGCUCAUGGAAUUGACAUUCUUGGUAAGCUCUAUACAUGUUGGACACAUGUAUUGCUUUGGUUUGCUUGCUAGACUUCGUAGCCCCACAUGCGAACUAGGACUAUGAACUACCCUUGCAAGCCCCUUUACCGAACCCCCACUACAAGACCUGCAUGCAUCCAACUGGUUGGGCCUAACUGAGUUGCGGGUAGGCAAUCUAGACUUUAUCUGGGUUUCGGGUUGGUGAUCACAAAUACGCAACAAUCUAGUUCCCUUAUUGGGUUUAAAGAAGGUUGUAAAGUGGCACUCAUUGGAGCCAUCACUUCACAUUAAUAAAGCUUGUUGAAUAUGCGACCACUGAAGCAUGACGUUAGUCUCGCCACGUGUACGAAGGGUUAUAAAGUGGCGUUCCUUAAAGCUAUCACUUCACAUUUAUACUGUUUAUUGAAUACACUACGACCACUGAAGCAUGACGUUAGUCUCGCCAUAUAUACAGGUGGACCAUGUCUAUUUACAUCUGGCCGUUGGUGCUCCUCGGUUAUUUUAACCUUCAAAACAUGUGAGAGAGAAACUCUUUAAAAAUAGGGUUUCAAAAUCCCUAAAACUUAAAAACUUAAUACUUUCUGCAACCAGAGUCGAUUGAGGCUUUUCUUCAAGGAAAAUCUUGUUAACUUCUUCAUUUUAGAUUUUAUCUUUCUUCUUAUUCUUUUUUCUUUUUUAUUGAAACUAUGUCAAGCAUGAGAGGAGCUGGUGGUCGGAUAAUUCCCAGCUAUCCACCACAAAAGCGUGCAACAAAAGUCCCUAUAGAAGCUAGCUUUUGCGUCUACAUUACAAAAGAAGAAGAGAUGCCUCAGGCUUUAGCCAUUUGAGGGAUUAAAAUCCCCAACUUUGCUUACGAAUUCCCUAUUCUUGAGAGGCCACAUAGGUUGAGCGACACUAAUAAUGGUAGCUUCCUACUCUUCUCCAUGUUCUAAAAGCUGGAUUCCAUUUGCCCUUGAACCUGUUCUUCUGUCAUCUUCUUUAAUAGUACAGGAUCGCUCUUGGUCAACUUUCUAUGUUUUCUUGGUAUAUCGUGGUGGCUUACUUUAUCGACUGCUGCUGACGCAAUGAAGUGUCACAGCUCACAGUUUUCCAACGUUUAUAUUUGUUGAAAGCCUAGAACUAAGGGAAUUCGCUGGGCUUCUACUAUUUCUCUCCUUGCGACUAUAAUCACCAACUGAUGUUUUAAUCAUCGACUAAAUCAGGGAAAAUACAUUAGGGUGAAAUGUAGGCUCACCGAUUGGUUUGGUUUGCCAACAAAGUGGUUCGCACCAAACAGGGACAUGUGUCUAUUUAAAUGACUCAUUACAAUAAAUAAUGGUUCAGCCUAACUUGAAAGGCUUCGCAUUGGUAAUUUCCUGGUUUUAGAGGAUGUUAUAAACAUGAGGAAUGUGUUUCGGUAUUGUUUAGAGGGCUUUAGCCCUAAUGGAUGGAGGUGGGGUGAUAGUAGAAAAGUGGCCAAAGCUACUGGUGCGUGACUUAAAAGAUAGAUAUGGCCUCAUGAGGCUAGAAAUGACCUGAGUCUGAUAUUAAUAGUAUAUAAAGAGGAGCCUAUGAAAUUCUUUUACAAUUUCUGCAGGAUGAAACUUCCCCUUGGAUUUUAGCAGUCUCAUUGCAUAAAGAAAGUUAUGCAAAUAUUAAUUUGACAAUGGCUUUCACUAACCUUAGAAUUAUUGUUAGUGCAAGCACAGCUCGUAUCUAUAAUUUCUUUGAGGGACAUUCACAAGAAGCAUAAAACUAAUGCGGGGCUUAUAAAUGUGGUUAUCAGCAGCAAAGAGGAGGCAGAUAGUGGAAGACUAGAGUAUCACCGUAAAAGGAGAACAGAUCAUGCUAGGCCUUCUGCUAUGAUAACCGCUACUCUUGUUUCUCCCUUAGUGAGCUCGCCAUCAAUAGCACAUGCAAGUUCUGUAAUGGCCUAAAUUCAAGGUUAUCGGAAUAGUGGUUUCGUAACCACAAAUCCGAUUUAGAGAGAAAUUUAUUUCAAUAUUUUUGCAUGAAAAUUGAUAUGAUAGGAAAAUCGUAUGAAAAUAUUGAUAGAAAAAUUUUACCUAUUUAGUGGUUAGUUAGAAAAAGAAAUUAUUAAAAAAAAUUGGAUAAAAUAAGGUAUCAGGACCUAUAUCUCGUAAAACCGAGUCAAAAAUAAUUUUAUAAAUAUUUAUGAAAUGUUAGUAAUGUGGUAUUAAAAUUUCGUUAGGAAAUUUUAAUGUUUGGAUAGUUAAUUAAAUGAAAAGGACUAAAUUGUAAAAGGUGUAAAAGUGGAUGGGAUGAUUAAAUAGCUUAAGUGUCUAAUGAGAGAGGCUUUAAAAGGAAAUUAGACCCAAAAUUUAUUUGGGCUGGACGGCAAGGGCAUGAAAUCGGCAACAAAAUUGAUAAAUUAAGGGCAAAAUUGGAAUAUUGCAAAAUUAACUAAAUAAAACUAGGACUAAAUAGGAAAUAUCUAGAUUUCUCUUCAUUUCUCUUCAAUUCCAGCAGAUAAAAAUGCCAUAGAAGGGUUCUAUAAGCUUUUAUUCCAUAAGUUUUGCACCAAUUGAGUUAAUCCUUGCAUUUUUCUUGUAAUUUUUGUGUUUCUAAGACUUUUACAACUAGGUCCUACUAUUAAAUUCAUUAGUUUUUGAUUUCAUGGAUGAAAUUGAAAGUAACCAUGGUUGAGUGCUGUACGUUUAUGAUGAAAUAGAAUGAAAUUAAAGCUUUAAUUUGUUUAUGAGAUGAUUUUAUUAGGUAAGUUCAAUAGAAAUUGCUUUUUAGGACCUAAUUCUGAAAAUGUUUGGAAUUAAAGUCUAUUGCUGAAUUUUUUAUUCUUAAAGGUUGUAAACUAGUUUAAGGUGAUAGAAUAAAGUAUUAAUUGAGAAAAAUUAGCUCAAUUGAGAGGCUAAUUGAGUAGGGAUGAAAUUGUUAUUUAUUAAAAGCUUAAGGGAAAAAUGGUAAUAAACAGCUUGCACUAAAACAAUAUUGGAGAGCCACAGUAGACUAACUUUGAAAAUUUACCAUAAAUUUUAGAAAUAAAAUUAGAAGAUAAAAAAAUAUGAAAUUAAAGCUUAUUGAGUCUAGAUUCUCAUAGAAGAAACAGUGUAAGCAAUGGAUCUGUAAAUCAUGAGAUAUAAUGAAUUUUGUGAGACAAGUUCAGAAUGAAUUCGAGUUCCCCUGUUCUGACUUUGAAAAAUUAUAAAAAAUGAAUAAAAAUAAUUAUGGGCUUAAAUUUAUAUUCCUAGAAUUUUUAAUGAGUCUAUUUUCAAGAGAAAUAAAUGGUAACAUCAUCCGAAUUCUGUAUUAAGAGAUAAUUAAUUUUUAGUGAAGAAGGGUUAGAACUAUCAGACAACAGAAUAUGGGUUAUUUUAAAGAAUAAACUGUACUUAUUGGCUACACCAAAAAUUCUAAAAAUUUUAUGGUAAGAAGAUAUAUAAGUCUAGUUUCAGGAAAAAUUAACGGAUCUUAAUUUGGAGUUACGUAUCUCGAGUUAUAAAUAAUUUAGUGACUAUGACUCAAAUAGACAGCUUUGAAUAAACUAUAAAUAAUAAUAAUGAAAUUAUAGAAAUUGUUGCAUAUGAACAUGAAAUGUAUUAAAUUGAUAAUUAAAUUUAUUUGUUUAUAUUCAGAAGAUUCAAAUACAAAGCUAGAUCGAGGAAAGGAAAAAGUUCAGGAUUAGUAGAUUUUUGUACACGACCAAGUAUCAAGGUAAGUUCGUGUAACUUGAAUUAUAUUCUUAAAUGCUUGAAAUGUAUGUUAUUGAUUUGAAUAUCAUUUGAAUGUUCAUUGUAUGAAAAUUAAUGAAACACUAAUAUAUUUGAUAAAAUGGGAAGAAAUCCCAGUUGAAUGAAAGGAAAAUUCGAUGGAGCUUUGGAAAGAAAUUGACGGUAAAAAAAAUCUAGCCCGGUCAGGUGAUCCUAUCCUGAUAUAGCCCCCCCGAAGAAUAUGUGUAAAAUGGAUUUAACCCGGAUGGGUAAUCCGAAUUAGGGUCUGAAUUUAGCCUGGACUGGUAAUUCAGAUCCAAGCUCAUUAGAGUAAUUGUCAUUGCAGGGGAUUUAGCCUGGACUGGUAAUCCCGCUGUAAGGAUGAGGUUCGCGGGAGUGUUCUCUCUGAAAUGGAAAUGUGCGCACAUGAAUAUGAAUUGACGGACCCGGGAAUGUACACUAAAAGUGUACCUCUGAAAACCCAUCGAAAUUUUGAGAAAUUUAACGGGAUAAAUAUGAAAAAAUAACAAGGAAAUGGAAAUCAUGGUAUUGAUGAGCUCAUCAAUCAUAGUAUAUAUUAUUGGUACAUGAAAUUAUUGUACUAACUUGAAUGUUGAGUUUGUGCAUGUUAGGGUAAUAAUGCAUUGAAUGGAUAUAUGAAUGUUUAUUGUAUUGUAUUGAAAAUAUUAGGUAAGUAUAAUUCUUCUUACAUGAGCUUACUAAGCAUAAAGUGCUUACCCUGUUUCCUUUUCCCCUGUUUUAUAGUGUUAAGAGCUCGGAGGUCGGAUUUGGUCGGAGACACAUCACACUAUCAACCUUAGGAUUUCGGUAUAUAAAAAAAACUUUAUUUUGGAAAUCAAUGGCAUGUAUAAGCUAAUAAAGUAAAUGAUUCUGUGAAAUGAAUGUAAGGUCAACCAAUGGUAUGGCUAACAAAUCUUGGUUUUGGUACGCGAUGAUGUUAUCUUAUAAAUAUGCGUAAAUACAUAUGCGUUAACCUAUCUUGAAAAUAUGUUGAAUUGGAUUGGUUGAUGUGGAUUAUUUUUGGUCUCGAUUUAAUAUUGCAGGCAAGGUUAGAUAUUUAUGAAGGGGCUAUAUUGAAUAUAUAAAAAAAAAGAUCGUAAACUCCGGUAAUACCUCGUACCUUAUUCUGGCAAUGAAUACGGGUAGGGGGUAUUACAUUUGUUGGUAUCAGAGCUAUGGUUUAGCCAGUUCUCGGAUUGACAUAGUAAAUACGGGAUUAGCUAUACAUGUCAUUUAAAUUAUUAUUGAUAGUGUGAUAUCUCCUGACCAUUUAAAUGUGUUUUUCUUAUAGUAAAUGUCUACCGACCAAGCUCAAUCUGAGGAAGUUGGGAGUCAUGCUCCGGCUUCAGUACAAAGAGAAAAAACUAGCAGUAGAAGGCCCGAGACAGAGGGUCGAGGGGAGGAGGCAAAGACAGCCUUCUUUCAAAUGAUGAAUGAAUGGUUUAGUCAAUACUUAAAAACUAACCCUGUAGUACAGCAAGUUCAAGCUCCCCCUCCUGCUCCUCCACCGGUUCCCGAGAUCCCACAGGGUACAGGUACUGAAUCUGUCAAAAAAGGGAAAGCUUCAGUAGAUAAAAUUCGAAAAUAUGGGGCCGAAGAAUUUCGAGCAACAGUUGAUGAUGAUUCCGAACGGGCUGAAUUCUGGUUAGAAAACACUACUCGGGUUUUGGAGGAAUUAUCUUGUACACCAGAAGAAUGUCUGAAAUGUGUCGUCUCACUGCUAAAAGACACAGCUUACCAUUGGUGGAAUACUAAAGCUUCAGUUGUUCCGAAAGAAGAAAUUACAUGAAAAUUCUUUCAGACCGAGUUCAGAAAGAAAUAUAUCAGCCAGAGGUUUUUCGAUCAGAAGAGAAAAAAAUUUCUUGAGCUGAAACAGGGUAACAGAUCAGUAUUUGAGUAUGAAAAAGAAUUUGUUUGAUUGAGUAAAUAUGCUCGAGAAUGGGUACAGUUAGAAGCUGAAAUGUGCAAACGAUUCGAAUAAGGGUUGAAUGAAGACAUUAAGCUACUGAUCAGAAUUCUUGAAAUUCGAGAGUUUGCUACAUUAGCAGAGAGAGCUUAUAAAGCAGAAGAAUUGAGCAAAGAAAAAAAACAGGCGCAGAGAGAAGCUCGAAUUUUUAGUAAAAGACCGAUGGGAAAAUCUCAGUUUUCUGCUCCAAAGAAAUUGAAGAAGUACCAGGAUCGUUCUACCUCAGCCACUGGGUAUUCGGGUAGAGAGCGAGGUUCUCAAUGCACUAAUCCAAGACCUUCCACUCCAUCAGUGGCCAGUGUUGGCAGUGUUGGCACUUCUAAGCCGAGAUGUCAGUACUGUAAUAAAGCUCAUUUUGGUGAAUGUCGAUUAAAGAGUGAGGCUUGUUACCGAUGUGGUUCUUUUGACCAUUUCCUCAGAAAUUAUCCAGAAAGAGGUGAAAAAGAAGCUGAGCAGAUAUCGAAGCUAAGUAAUCCAGUUUCAAGGGGCAGACCACCUCGACCAUCUAGUAAUGUCAGUGGUAGCCGAGGAGCUAUGAAAGAUAUUACAGGCAGGUCUAAGGCACGAGCACCUGCUAGGACAUACGCCAUUCGUGCCAGAGAAGAUGCCUCAGCACCCAAUGUUAUUACUGGUACAUUUUCUUUACUUGGAACUGAUAUUACUGCAUUAAUUGAUCCUAGUUCUACGCAUUCAUAUAUAUGUGUUAAACUUGCAAUUGUUAAAAAUUCAUCUUUUGAACCUUCUAAAUUUGUGGUUAAAGUCUCGAACCCCCUAGGUUAAUUUGUUUUGGUGGGUAAAAUUUGUAAAAAUUGUCCACUGAUGGUAAGAGGUUAUUGUUUCUCGGCUGAUUUGAUGUUACUGUAAUUUGAUAAAUUUGACGUGAUAUUGGGCAUGGAUUGGUUAACCCAGCAUGAUGCAGUAGUAAAUUGUAGACAAAUAUAUAUUGUGCUAAAAUGUCAGAAUGGUGAGUUGCUCCGGGUUAAAUCUGAUCAGACAGAGGGGUUAUCUGGUGUGAUUUCAAUAAUGGCAGCACAGAGGUAUGUCAAAAAAGGGUAUGAUACUUACUUGGCUUAUGUACUCGACACCAAGGUAUCUGACUCAAGGAUACAUGCAGUGCCAAUAGUAUGUGAAUUUUCUGAUGUGUUUCCAGAUGAAUUACUAGGGUUGCCACUAGAAAGAGAAGUGAAAUUUUCUAUAGAUUUGAUUCCGGGAACUACUCCGAUUUCCAUAGCUCCGUACCGGAUGGCUUCUACUGAAUUAAAGGAGUUAAAGACACAGUUGCAAGAGCUUGUUGAUAGGGUUUUGUCCGACCGAGUCAUUCACCUUGAGGUGCUCCGGUUCUGUUUGUGAAAAAGAAAGACGGGUCUUUAAGACUUUGUAUCGACUACCGGCAGCUUAAUAAAGUAACCAUAAAGAAUAAAUAACCGUUACCCCGUAUUGAUGAUUUAUUUGAUCAACUGAAAGGUGCUACUGUGUUUUCAAAGAUUGAUCUUCGAUCAGGUUAUUAUCAGUUACGGGUAAAGGAGUCAGAUGUGCCAAAAACAGCCUUCAGAACCAGGUACGGACAUUAUGAGUUUCUGGUUAUGCCAUUUGGGCUAACUAAUGCAUCUGCAGUAUUCAUGGAUUUGAUGAACCGGAUAUUCAGACCGUACUUAGACAGAUUUGUAGUAGUAUUCAUUGAUGAUAUUUUGGUUUAUUCUCGGGAUGAAGAAGAACAUGCAGAACAUUUGAGAAUUGUGUUGCAAAUUCUGCGAGAGAAGUAGUUAUAUGCUGAACAUCAGGUACCUUCGGGGUUACUUCAGCCAAUUACUAUACCGGAAUGGAAAUGGGAAGGAAUCACUAUGGAUUUUGUAUCGGGGUUACCUUUGUCUCCGACAAAAAAAGAUGUUAUUUGGGUGAUUGUUGACCGAUUAACAAAGUCGGCGCACUUUAUUCCGGUACGUAUGGAUUAUUCUUUAGAUAAAUUAGCUGAACUAUACAUAUCUGAGAUUGUCAAGCUACAUGGAGUGCCUGUCUCUAUUAUAUCAGAUAGAGAUCCCCGAUUUACGUCUCGUUUCUGGGAUAAAUUGCAGGAAGCCUUAGGUACUCAGUUGUAUUUCAGCACUGCAUUUCAUCCUCAAACAGAUGGUCAAUCUGAGCGUGUAAUUCAAGUAUUGGAAGAUAUGCUUCGAUGUUGUAUACUAGAGUUUGAAGGUAAUUGGGAGAGGUAUCUACCUUUGAUUGAAUUUGCUUACAAUAAUAGUUAUUAGUCCAGUAUUAAAAUGACUCCAUAUGAAGCUUUGUAUGGUAGAAAAUGUAGAACACUGUUAUAUUGGACAGAACUCAGUGAAAGGAAGAUACAUGGGGUUGAUUUGAUCCGGGAAACAGAAGAAAAAGUAAAGGUUAUUCGGGAUAGUCUAAAAACAGCUUCCGAUUGUCAAAAAUCAUAUGCCGACCUUAAAAGAAAAGAGAUUGAAUUUCAAUUCGGUGAAAAGGUAUUCCUGAAAGUGUCUCUAUGGAAGAAAGUUCUUCGAUUCGGUCGAAAAGGUAAACUGAGUCCAAGAUUUAUCGGGCCAUAUGAAAUCAUAGAAAGAAUUGGACCGGUCGCUUAUCGAUUGGCAUUACCACCGGAACUUGAUAGAAUCCAUAAUGUUUUUCAUGUAUCUAUGUUACGACGAUAUCAAUCAGAUCCUUCAGAUGUUAUUUCUCCGACAGAAGUGGAGAUUCAACCGGAUCUAACUUACAGUGAAGAACCGGUCAAGAUAUUGGCACGGGAGACAAAAGAGCUUAGAAAUAAAAAGAUAAAUUUAGUGAAAGUAUUGUGGCAAAAACAUGGGAUUGAGGAAGUGACAUGGGAACCGGAGGAGGCAAUGACGAAACAAUACCCAAACCUCUUUACUGGUAAGAUUUUCGAGGACGAAAAUCCUAAAGGGGGGAGAGUUGUAAUGGCCUAAAUUCAAGGUUAUCGAAAUAAUGGUUUCGUAACCACAAAUCUGAUUUAAAGAGAAACUUAUUUCAAUAUUUUUGCAUGAAAAUUGAUAUGAUAGGAAAAUCGUAUGAAAAUAUCGAUAGAAAAAUUUUACCGAUUUAGUGGUUAGUUAGAAAAAGAAAUUAUUAAAGAAAAUGAGUAAAAUAAGAUAUCGGGACCUAUAUAUCAUAAGACCGAGUCGAAAAUAAUUUUAUAAAUAUUUAUGAAAUGUUAUUAAUGUGGUAUUAAAAUUUCGUUAGGAAAUUUUAAUGUUUGGAUAGUUAAUUAAAUGAAAAGGACUAAAUUGUAAAAGGUGUAAAAGUGGAUGAGAUGAUUAAAUAGCUUAAGUGUCUAAUGAGAGAGGAUUUAAAAGGAAAUUAGACCCACAAUUUAUUUGGGCUGGACGGCAAGGGCAUGAAAUCAGCAGAAAAUUGAUAAAUUAAGGGCAAAAUUAGAAUAUUGCAAAAUUAACUAAAUAAAACUAGGACUAAAUAGGAAAUAUCUAGAUUUCUCUUCAUUUCUCUUCAAUUCCAGCAGCUAAAAACGCCAUAGGAGUGUUCUCUAAGUGAGUUAAUCCUUGCAUUUUUCUUGUAAUUUUUGUGUUUCUAAGACUUUUACAACUAGGUCCUACUAUUAAAUUCAUUAGUUUUUGAUAUCAUGGAUGAAAUUGAAAGUCACCAUGGUUGAGUGCUGUAAUUUUGUGAUGAAAUAGAAUGAAAUUAAAGCUUUAAUUUGUUUAUGAGAUGAUUUUAUUAGGUAAUUUCAAUAGAAAUUGCUUUUUAGGACCUAAUUCUGAAAAUGUUUGGAAUUAAAGUCUAUUGUUGAAUUUUUUAUUCUUAAAGGUUGUAAACUAGUUUAAGGUGAUAGAAUAAAGUAUUAAUUGAGAAAUAUCAGCUCAAUUGAGGGGCUAAUUGAGUAGGGAUGAAAUUUUUAUUUAUCAAAAGCUUAAGGGAAAAAUGGUAAUAAACAACUUGCACUAAAACAAUAUUGGAGAGCAGCAGUAGACUAACUUUGAAAAAUUACCAUAAAUUUUAGAAAUCAAAUUGGAAGAUGAAAAAAAUAGGAAAUUAAAGCUUAUUGAGUCUAGUUUCUCAUAAAGAAACAGUGUAAGCAAUGGAUCUGUAAAUCAUGAUAUAUAAUGAAUUUUGUGAGACAAGUUCAGAAUGAAUUCGAGUUCCCCUGUUCUGACUUUGAAAAAUCAUAAAAAAUGAAUAAAAAUAAUUAUGGGCUUAAAUUUAUAUGCCUAGAAUUAUUAAUGAUUCUAUUUUCAAGAUAAAUAAACGGUAACAUCAUCCGAAAUCUGUAUUACGAAAUAAUUAAUUUUUAGUGAAGAAGGGUCAGAACUAUCAGACAACAGAACAGGGGUGACAUUAAAGAAUAAAAUGUACUUACUGGCUACACCAAAAAUUCUGAAAAUUUUAUGGUAAGAAGAUAUAUGAGUCUAGUUUCAGGUAAAAUUAAUGGAUCUUAAUUUGGAGUUACAUAGCUCGAGUUAUAAAUAAUUUAGUGACUAUGACUCAAAUAGACAGCUUUGAAUAAACCAUAAAUAAUAUAAUGAAAUUAUAGAAAUUGUUGCAUAUGAACAUGAAAUGUAUUAAAUUGAUAAUUAAAUUUAUUUAUUUAGAUUUAGAAGAUUCAAAUACGAAGCUAGAUCGAGGAAAGGAAAAAAUUCAGGAUUAGUAGAUUUUUGUACACGAACAAGUAUCAAGGUAAGUUCGUGUAACUUGAAUUAUAUUCUUAAAUGCUUGAAAUGUAUGUUAUUGAUUUGAAUAUCAUUUCAAUGUUCAUUGUAUGAAAAUUAAUGAAACAUAGAUAUAUUUGAUAAAAUGGGAAGAAAUCCCGGUUGAAUGAAAGGAAAAUUUGAUGGAUCUCUGGAAAGGAAUUGACGGUAAAAAGGAUCUAGCCCGGACGGGUGAUCCUAUCCUGAUAUAGCCCCCCGAAGAAUAUGUGUAAAAUGGAUUUAACCCGGAUUGGUAAUCCGAAUUAGGGUCUGAAUUUAGCCUGGACUGGUAAUUCAGAUCCAAGCUCAUUAGAGUAAUUGUCGUUGCAGGGGAUUUAGCCUGGACUGGUAAUCCCGCUGUAAGGAUGAGGUUCGCGGGAGUGUGCUCUCUGAAAUGGAAAUGUGCGCACAUGAAUAUGAAUUGACGGACCCGGGAAUGUACACUAAAAGUGUACCUCUGAAAAUCCAUCGAAAUUUUGAGAAAUUUAACGGGAUAAAUAUGGAAAAAUAACAAGGAAAUGGAAAUCAUGGUAUUGAUGAGCUCAUCAAUCAUAGUAUAUAGUAUUGGUACAUGAAAUUAUUGUACUAACUUGAAUGUUGAGUUUGUGCAUGUUAGGGUAAUAAUGCAUUGAAUGGAUAUAUGAAUGUUUAUUGUAUUGUAUUGAAAAUAUUAGGUAAGUAUAAUUCUUCUUACAUGAGCUUACUAAGCACAAAGUGCUUACCCUGUUUCCUUUUCCCCUAUUUUGUAGUGUUAAGAGCUCGGAGGUCGGAUUUGGUCGGAGACACAUCACACUAUCAACCUUAGGAUUUCGGUAUAUAAAAAAAACUUUAUUUUGGAAAUCAAUGGCAUGUAUAAGCUAAUAAAGUAAAUGAUUCUGUGAAAUGAAUGUAAGGUCAACCAAUGGUAUGGCUAACAAAUCUUGGUUUUGGUAUGCGAUGAUGUUAUCUUAUAAAUAUGCGUGAAUAUAUAUGCGUUAACCUAUCUUGAAAAUAUGUUGAAUUGGAUUGGUUGAUGUGGAUUAUUUUUGGUCUCGAUUUAAUAUUGCAGGCAAGGUUAGAUAUUUAUAAAGGGGCUAUAUUGAAUAUAUAAAAAAAAUCGUAAACUCCGGUAAUUCCUCGUACCUUAUUCUAGCAAUGAAUACGGGUAGGGGGUAUUACAAGUUCUCUGAUUGCUGCUCAUGGUAGCUCUCCUCCUUUUGCUCUUCCUGGUAUUCCUUAUUUUUUGCCUCAUGUUGAGGAAACCUUAUCUAGAAAGGAUGGUGAGCUAUUCUCAUCGUGUGGACAUAUGAGUAUGUGAGAGUACCCUUAUGACCUCAGGAAAGUGGUGGAGAAGUGGAAGGCUUUUUUACUAGAAACUACAAAAAGGCAAAUGUGCAUUGCUAAGUUAUUGUGUGGUGCGAAGAAUCCUCUACUGUCAAAGCUUACCUCAUCCUUACAAGUUCUAUUGUCUGAGGCUACUAUGGUUAACUUAAGCUUUAGUAAAAAUGUUGGUAAAGCUAAAGCUAGUCAAAGGGAGCUCGAGGAAACUAAAGGGGAUUUAGAGAGAACUUGCAAGCUAUACCUCAAGAUUAGAGAGGAGAAUGAAGAUCUUUAUAGAUAAAUUAUAGAGCUAGUUGGUCACCUGAGAGCUGCUAAGGUCAAAAUUGAUGAGUUAUUUGAGAAGGCCGUAGUUGAAAAGGAAAAAAAAUUGGCCCUAGAUUCUGAUUUGAAGAAAAUGGCUAAUGAGCAUAAGGCAAUUGUGAAUCGAAUUGUUGAAGAAUAUGAAGCUACUAUGGAAAAGUCAGAGUAGAAACAAAUAAAGGCCUUAGAAAAAUUUAAAAGGGAGACUCUAGAGAACUUGAGUAACCUUGCUCAAGAGCUCAAGUCGAACAAACUUAUGCAUGUCCAAGUUGUAGGUGGCCCUUUUGAUGCUCUCAGGGUUUAUCUCGAUGCUUUCUGUGAUGUGGAUAUGAACCAACUGGGUGUUAAUGUCUACUUCCCCUCCGAAGCUGCUUGGGAUGAGUUUACAUCCAAAAGAAGGAAAUCAAAAGACUUUUAUCUAGAUGAAGACCUAGUUGAAACCAACACUGCUCCUGUUGACAAAAAUGAAGCCAAUGAGGACCCCGCUGAAGCCAAUGUUGCUCCUACUAAUGGUAAUGACAAUAUUAAAGUUACUGAAAGAGAAAGAGAAAAUGAGAUCCUCAGCGACCAUGAAUGGGCUGAUAAUAUGCUUUAAUUGUAACUUUGUAUUACUUUUCUCAUCUUGAAAUGAAAAUUUAAGCUUUGAAAAUUUUCAAAUUUGAUUGUUAUUAUUAUGACAUCAUAUCCUUUUGUGAACUUAUUUUUUCUUUUCGUAUAACACUACUGCUUGUACUAAAAAUUUGAACUUAAACAACUUUUUAAAGAUAUUUUCAGGAAUUUUUAAUUGAUUUAGUGUAAUUCAAUUGUUCUGUUUUAAGUGACUUAUUAUCAAUUUUGACUUGAGUGUUCUUAAACAUCUAUGUUGUGAAUUUAAGUCAGCAAACUCGAAAGAAAUUAAGUUACGAUCUCAAAUCAAUUAAGCCUUAAGUACCACCCAAGAAGGUAGCCUUGCUAGUUGUGCUGGAUCUGCGAGCUUAACUCUGCGAGCUCUUAUAAUGUCAAAUGGGAACAUAGGUCUGCUAGUUGUUUUAGAAGUUGUGAUUUUAAACCGUCAAACCUUUAUGACAUCAGCUAGGAGCGUAGGUCUGCUAGCUGUGUCAGAGCUAUGAGCUCUUAUAAUGUCAACUGAGAGCGUAGGUCUGCUAGCUAUUUUAGAGGUUGCAAUCUUAAACCGUCAAACCUUUGUGACAUCAGCUAGGAGAGUAGGUCCGUUAGUUGCUUUGGAGGUUGCGAUCUUAAACCGUCAAACCUCUAUGAUAUCAACUGGGAGCGUAGGUCUGCUAGCUGUGUCAGAGCUAUGAGCUUAACUCUGUGAGCUUUUAUAAUGCCAGCUGGAAGCGUAGGUCUGCUAGCUACUUUAGAGGUUGCGACCUUAAACCGUCAAACCUUUAUAACAUCAGCUGCAGCGUAGGUCCGCUAGCUAUGCCGAAGCUACGAGCUUAACUCUGCGAGCUCUUAUAAUGUCAACUAAGAGCAUAGGUCCACUAGUUGUGUUGGAGCUGUAAGCUUAACUCUAUGAGCUCUUAAAAUGCCAGUUGGGAACGUAGGUCUGCUAGCUGCUUUAGAGGUUGCAAUCUUAAACUAUCAAACCUUUCAACUAUAACAAGUACAAGUGUUUAUAAAGAGAAUAUUUUUAUUCAAAGAGUAAGAAAUUACACAUAAUAUUUCUUAAGGUGAUGAACAUUCCAUGUUUACGGUAGAACUGUACCUUUCAUUUUUGCUAACUUGUACGCUCCAUAACCUAUCUUCUCAAUGACUUUGUAUGGCCCUUCCCAGUUCGGAGUCAUUUUCCCUUAUUGCGAAGCUAGAAAACUAGCCUCGAUGUUUCUAAGGAUAAGAUCACUUAGUUGGAAUUGCUUGUUCUUAACCUUAGAGUUUUAGUAUCGAGUUAUUUGCUAAGCACGUGUUGCAUUCUUAAUCUCCGCUACUUCUCUAAACUCAUCGAUGAGAUAAGGGUUAAACCUGAUAGCCUCUUGAUUGAUAUCUUCAUUAAAAUGUGUUGUCCUAUGUUACCGCAUACCAAUCUCAGUGGAAAUUACUGCCUCAGCGCCAUAGACAAGGGAAAAUAUUGUUUCUCCUGUUGCAGUAUAAUGUGAAGUCCGUAGAGCCCAUAAGAUUCUUGGUAGCUCAUUUAACCACACACCAUUGGCCUCAACAACCUUCUUUUUCAAAGCUGUUAGAAUCUUCUUAUUCAUUGCUGUAACACCCCUAACUCGUACUUGUCGUCGGAACAGGGUUUAAGAGUAUUACCGAAACAUUCAGAACAUUUUACAAAUAAUUCAUGUAACAUACUAUUCAUUUACCAAGAUCAUUCAAAAAGUCCAUUGAUUGGGCCCUCGAGGCCCAAUACAAGCAUUAGAAUCGAGUCAGGACUUCAUCGGGAACUUUAAGAAUUUUUCACUACUUUUCAAAAUUUUUCCAAUAUGCAGGGCUCACACACCCAUGUGGUCCAAGGGACACGACCGUGUGACCCUAGGACACACCCGUGCUAGAGGUCAUGUUCGACUCCGUGUAACUCUCUAACUUGCACACACAGUCAUGCCACACGCUUGUGUGCUAGGCUUGUGGUCAAUUAAUUCAAUUUGAAAUUAGGUGCAGGUUUCACACGGACACAUGCCCGUAUUUUAGGCCAUAUAGCACACACGGCUGAGAUACACGCUCGUGUCUCUGCCCAUGUGCUUAAUUCUAAGCAUUCUGUUUCUCAAAAUUAAGGUGCAGGGGACACACAACCUAACCACAUGCUCAUGUUACCAGGCCGUGUGCCACACACGGUCUAGACACACGGACUGUGGACAAAAUAAAGUCAUUUCUAGCUUCAUUUCUCACACAAAUUCACACUAAUGACCUGCACUUAAACUCACAUCCAUAAACCAACCAAUUCAAUCAUUCAAAUUUAGCAAAUUCCAUCAUACAUCAUGGCAUAACAUUUCAUACAUACAUGUUUACAACCAUAACUAAGUUUGACAUUAUAAGUAUAUUUAAACAAAUCGUUACUAGCCAUUCUAAUGGUUAGAUUACAAGCAUCAUUUACAUUUACAUGCCAAUAUGGCUAAUAUAACGUAUACAUGUCAUUACACCAUAAUUGAUUUACCAUAUUGUACCAACAUGGGCCGAUGGAUAGUGUGAGUGAUCUCCGCCAAGCUUUCAAUCCAACAAGCUUUAGAUUUACUCUAAAACAAGGAAAUAAAACUAAGUAAGCAUAAAAUGCUUAGUAAGUUCGUAUAACGUGGUACUUAACUUACCAUUCAUUCUAUUUUGAGGUAACUAUGUAAGGCAUUUUCAAUCAAUUUGACCUCAAGCUCUACACACAUCCUCAUUGCCUUUGUUAGUCAUAUAUUCCAUAAAGACCUCAAAACAUAUAUGGGCUCAUCAACAAUCAAGUUUCCAAUCACAUAUGUUUUCCACAGCAUGUAUUCAUUCAAUAUGCAUAAUUCAUCUCUUUAUUAUAAGUAUAAUUUCAUACUACUUCAUUUCAAGUUUAGAUAAUUUCAUAUAAGAAUUGUACUCAUAUUACUUGGAAUAUCAAUGUCACGAUUAGUACAUUCAAGGUGUAUAAGUCUCUAAUCAAGAAUGAACAUAUAUUCAUCAAAUAAAGUCCAUGUACAAAUAUCAUCAUCUCACAUUUUCAUAUAUCAUUUGUCAUGUAUCAUCAUUUGUUUGUAUUUCAGACAGAUACGUGUAAUAACUCAUUUUAUCAUUCAUAUCUUCUCAUGUCUGAAAUUGUCACCCGUUAAAUUUAUUCGGAAUAUCAAUAGACACGCAGGUAAUACAUUCGAGGUGUACGAAUCAGGAUCCAUUAAUUCAUGUCUAAUGGUACCCAUAAGGUACUAUAUCAGAGAGUACACUCUCGAGCCACACAUGUAUACGACAAGAGCUUAAUCUGGACUACCCGUCCAAGCUAAAUCCAAUCCAUAACAUGUGCUCGAGAGGACUUAUAUCAGGAUUACCCAUCCGGGCUAAAUCCUUUCCAUAAUGAGGUCAAUAGGAUUACUCGUCUGAGUUAAAUCUCGUCAGCAACAAAUGCAGGACCUCAUUCAUUUCGAGAAAUCACAUAUCCAUAGGUUUUCUAUUUUAUUCAACCGGGAUUUAAACAUUUUUCUCAAGCGUUAUUGGUAUGUGAUUAUUUCAUACAUCCACAACAUUCAUGUAAUUCAAAUAAACACAUUCUACAUUCAUUUCAAGCAUAUAAAUAACAUUCUCAUCGUUUAUCCUUUAUCAUCUAUCGGGUAUUAUCAUUUAAUUUAAACAUUUUCAUUUAUCGAGCUUGAUCAGAUAUGUAAUCAUUUCACAUAUUUAUGACAUUUAUACAAUUUACAUAAACACAAUCAAUGCAAGCAUGAAAAUAAACACAAUUUAGUUACAUAAACUUACCUCGACAAAUGUUAGUGUACAUAACAUCUACUAAUCCAACAUUUUCCUCUUUUCCUUGUUCUAGCUCCGAAUUUGGUCUAUCCGGAUCAAUACGAGUAAAUUUAUCAUCAAUUUAUCAUAUUUUAUAUUCAAGUGGACUCAAUUUUUAUCCUAGGAAAAAUUACCAUUUUGCCCCUAACUUUUCCAAAAAUUCUCAUUUUCAUCCCUAGGCUUGAAAAAUAAAAUUUGUGCAAUUUACUCCCUAUUCCAAGCCUAGCCAAAAUCCCAUUACAAAAUUUACAGCACAUUUAUUCAUAAAAAAUCAGCAUUUUUCUUCAAUUUUCACAACUUUUCAUUUUAGUCCCUAAAUCAUGUUUUCAUCAAAAAUCACUUUGUAAAAGUUGUUUAUCUAUCAAUAAUCUUUUAUUUUCUACCACAAAUUUAUAAUUUCCAGCAUAUUCAUCCAUGAUCUAUUUUUCAUACAUUGAUAACUUUUCAAAUUAAUCCCUCAAAUAGAUAGAUUAGACUAUCCCGGUUUCAAAAAUAUAAAAAUUACUAAAAACGAGGCUUGAUUACUUACCCAAAUAAGCUUGAUAAGUCUUCUUCCUCUCUCCUAAGGUUUCCAUGGAAAUAUUUGGGCAAGAUGAUAUGAAAUUGUUUUCUUUUUCAUUUAAUUAAUUUAACAUUUAAUAACUUUUCAUCUUUCCAAUUUAGUCCUUAGCCUUUUUUUUUAUUUUUACAUGGAUGAGUCAUACCAAAAUAUCUACAUACUUUAUUUAAUGGUCAAAUUACCAUAUAAGGACCUUAAUUUUUGAAUUCCAUAACUAUUUAAUCCUUAUAGCUACUAGAAUUGAACUUUCGCAUUUUAUGCGAUUUGAUCCUUCCCGUAAUUAAACACUUAAUCAAUAAUAUUUUCUUAUCAAAAUUUUCACAUGAAAUGUCUACCAUAAUACGAACCAUAUAAUAAAAUAAAAAUAAAUUUUAUUUUUCGGCUCGAAUUUGUGGUCCCAAUGCCACUGUUCUAAUUUCACGGAAAUUGGGCUGUUACAAUUGGUUUAGUUUGCCCAUUCGUUUGUGGUGUUUUAAUAAAACUCUGAGCCAAAGCAAUCUGAAGAUUUACAUAGAAAUUUUUGAACUUUUCAUGAAACUGUGUGUGAUUGUCUGUGAUAAUCAAGUGAGGUAUACCAAACCUACACAUAAUUGAUUUCCAGAGAAAAGACUCCAUUUGUUUCUCUAUGAUGGUCGCCAAAGCUUUAGCUUCAAUCCACUCGGUGAAAUAGUUGAAAACCACCACUAAUUUUUUUGUAUUGUAGCCAUUGGGAAUAGACCGAGAAUAUCAAUUCCCCAAGUCACAAAUGGUCAGGGGCUCAACAUGACUAGAAGAGGUUCUACUGGUUGUCUGUGCACCUGAGCAUAUCUCUAGUAGGAGUCGUAUGUGUAAACCAAAUGAUGUGUAUCCUUUUGAACCGUAGGCUAGUAACACUCUUGCUUGAAAGUUUUUUUGGCAAGUAGUCUUCCAAUUAAAUGGUCACCACAAAUGUCUUCAUGAAUUUCUCACAUUAUGUGCUCAACCUCAAACGAUGAAAACAUCGUAGCAGCGGAUACGAAAACCCAUUUUUAUAUAGUACACCCUCUAAAAGAGUAUACCUAAAAAUUGUAGGUUAAAAUGAAUUAUUUUAACUUGCCAUAUAAUUGAGUAAUUUAACAAUUAUCUACACAGUACUCAAAUGUCUAAUUUAUCGAUUAAAAUUUUUGGGAGUAUGUAACUUGUGACAACGACAUACCUCGGAGAUUUACGUUGUAACCUUGUGAGCUCUUUCGUGUCCAGAUUAUCAUACACUUAUUAUAAUGUGUGAACUAAGUGAUUCAUCAAUAUCUCUUCCUGAUUUAUAUUCAAAACUUGUUGCAUAUCAAAGCUCGGGGUAUCCCAGUACUCCAGAAAAUUUUUUCCUCUUUGCUCAAUGACAAUAGAGGAUGCAACUUUAGAUAAAGCAUUUGUACGUGUGUUGUCACUCCUUAUGAGCUGCUUUAUCUGAACUUUGCCAAAUCCUGCGAGCAGUUGGAUUGCAACUGAAUGAUAUCUUUUUAACACUACCUCCUUAACGUAGUCGUUAUUCAUUUGCUUUGCCACUAAUUGUGAAUCUGUAUGGAUGAUCAUAUCCUUCACUCCUAGUUGGUGUGCUAGUUAUAACCUUGAUAUUAAAGCUUCAUAUUCUGUUACGUUUUUGGAUGUUUGAAAUCCAAAAGUUAAUUCGUACUGCCAUUCAUUCCCACUGGUAUCAAUCAGAAGUACCCCUACUCCUGAACCUGCCUUGGCUAUGGAGCCAUCAAUAUGCACUAGCCACUUUUUCGAAUUAUCAAUUAUAUCUACACCCCUUUAAGGUGGACUAACUACUGGGUUGAGUACAACAGAUGAAAAAGAGAUCUUAGAAUAAAGUGUGAGUUGAUCAUAAAUUAUUAUAAAAAUAAUAGGCUAAAUUGUAACAGUCCAUUUUUCAGUGGUGACAGAAUAAUGGUUUCGGGACCACAAAUUUCCAUCGUGUCGACCCAUAAAUAUUGUUUAUAGAAUAUUUACGGAGUCAUUAGAGUCAUAAUUAUUGCAUUUAGAUGAUUUAAUAGCUUAAAUAUCAUAGGAGGGAGGACUUAUGUAGCAAUUAAAACCUAGUUAUUAUUGUUCGACGGCAAUUGGAAUGACAAUAAUAAAAUAACAUAUGUUUUAAUGGCAAAAUAGUAAUUAAUAUAAAAUUAAAACAAAAUAAUUAGAAAAAGAUAGCAUGUUCUUCUCCAUUUUAUUUUCAUUGUUGGCCAAAAACACCAUAAGAGAGAAGCUUAAACAUUCAGCUGGUUUUAGCCUUGCAUGGGUAAGUUUUGAGUCCCGUUUUUAAUGAAUUUUAUGUUUUUGAAAUCGUUACAACUAGGUCCAACUAACCUGUACCUUUCUUUUUGAAUCUGUUAAAAGUUUUAGAAGUUUCCAUUGUGAAUCUUGGUUUUUUUAUGAUAAUUAUGUGUUUGAAGCUUUGGUUGUGGUAUUUGGUUGUUUUAUGAAGUAAUUUUUAUUAGUUUUUUAUUUAAGGAUUAAAUUAUUAAAAUGUCAAAAUUUUAAGGUUUGAUGGUGAAUUAGAGGUAUAUUAGCACUGUUUACUGGCCUAUAUUAUUCGGUUGUAAAUUUUGACUUGAAAAAAUAGUUAAUUUGAUUAUUUUCGGGUUGUUAACUUAAGAAAAUGAUUUUCGGUUGUUAAUUUGCAAAAGUUGUAAAAGUUAGGGGUAAUUGUGUAAUUUUAAAAAAUAAAAGGGUCUAAAAUGCAGAGUUAACUGGAAUAUGAAAUGUAAGCUAAUAAAUCAAGACCUUGUUGAUUUACGUAGAAAAGGGAAAAGUGCAGAAUAGUCCUUGAACUUUUACAACUAUUACAAUUUAGUCCAGGUAAGUGCGUUUGAUUUUUAAUUUAAUAUCUAUAUGAAUUGUAUGAUGAUAUGGUAUAAAAUAGUGGAUAUUGAUUAUUCUAUUGAUGAUGUAAAGUUGUUUGGGAAAAUGUUAUUGAAUUUUGGUACUUGAGCUGGAUGAAUGCGAGAUAGAGUACAAUUGAAUGACGGCGUGCUAUGCAUAUAUUAGAGCGGAGAUUGAUGUGGUGUGCUUUAUAUAUUUUUCCCGAGUAUACUGAGGUUCAACAUUUUUUGCGAAUCCUCGUGUUCUACUAUCUUGUUUUGGCGUGUUAUGAGGGGCAAAUGUAUAGCCUACAGGCACUUAAUGUCGAGGCGUGUUAUUGGUUAGAUUAGCUCUCCUGAGCAUUUGGCGUGUUAACAGUUGGAUUAGCUCUUAUGAGCGUUUGGCGUGUUUCGGUUAGAUUACUUAUAUACUUGUAUUUGUAAGUCGUUCAUCAUGUCGUAAAUUAUUGUAUUAUAACUUGUUUAAUGACUUUGAAUGGCAUAACAUGUACUAGAUAUCUUGAAUUGACUCCGUUGUGGACUUGUAUAUUUUCCGAAAAUUAUUAUUGAGCUUUAAAUUAAACUAUGUAAUCACUACAGCAAAACCGAUUUUUAGCGGCGUUUUUUUGGCUUUUAUAAGCCUUGCUAAAAGCCCUGCAAAAAACGCCACUAACAUUUUGUGGCGUUUAUGUAAAAAAAACGCCGGUAAAGAACAUAACUUCUACCGGUGUUUUUGAGAAAGUGUAGCUAAAAACGUGACCUUUAGUGGCUUUUUUUCACACAAACGCUGCUAAACAAUGUGACCUUUAGCGACACUUUUCACAGAAAUGCCGCUAAAGAACGUGACCUUUAGCGGCGCCUUUCACACAAACGCCACUAAAGAACGUGACUUUUAACGACGCCUUUCACACAAACGCUGCUAAAGAACGUGACUUUUAGCGGUGCCUUUCACAAAAACGUCGCUAAAGAACAUGACCUUUAGCGGCGUUUUUAGUAAAAACGCCACUAAUUUUAGCAGAUUUCUAGUAUCCUAUUUUCAUUCAUAUACAACCCUUCCUGUAACAUCAAAUCCAACAAAUUACAGCAAAUCUAAAUGAUACUUCAAAAAUCCAAUGAAAGAUAUAUUAUCUAAAUUAAUAAAAUAAAUAACAAAAUAUUCUUACAAUAAUGUUAAAAGUUAUAUUUUUGAAAAAUUUUUGCAAUAAGAAAAUAAACGUCUAAGAUGGUAAAAUUCUGCGACUGCUGAAACAUCUUCAUCAUAUUCUGAAGCUGUAGCUAGAGUUCGUUGUAUUCUCUGUUUUGCUCUGCUUCCCUCGCUGCUGCCUCCUCUUUAAGUUGUAGCUGGAGUUCUUCAUAUUUUCUUUGAACCUCUACUUCUCUCAAUGCUGUAUCCCCUUUAAGUUGAGCAAUUUGCUCAACUAUGCUUGCUUGCAUCUGAGCCAUCUGGUUUCUUAACCUCUAAUCUUCAGCUUGAGCUUGACUCUCUAAAGGCAUGUAUUACUGUGAGCUGAUCCAAAAUAUUGGGUUAGGUUAACACCAGAUCCUUGAAAUCGAACCCGACCAUACCUUUCAAGACCCAAAACUUCAGUAAUAAUUCUGUUAUCAGUGUCCUCAAGAUUAACAGAACUAUCACUCGAAGCAAUCGCUUCAUACUCCACCUUUUUAUCCUUUAGUUUCUCCUAAUAAAUCACUCAAAGAGUUAGAAACAAAAUAUAUAAUAAAAACAAAUGCAACAUAACUUAACAUUAUUUAAAACUACUAACGACGAAUUAAACCAUUAUAACUAAACCAUUAUAAUUAAACAUUAUAAAUAUUUAAAAUAAAUCAAAUUUUAUUAAGUAAAUAUACUAUAAUUUCUCCAACUUCAGAAGUCAUUGGAGAUCCAUCUUUCUUCCUAUGUGUAAUGUCAAAAAGCUGAAGGCGUCCAACUUUUUGACCAGACGAGAGUUCCUACAACAUAGUAGUAAAAAUAUUAUUUAAUAGAAAGUAAUUAAUAUUUGACAUAAUUAAUAAAUUCAAAAUACCUCAACCUCUGCUACACAAGCAAAACUUUUCGACCAUGCUGUGUGUGUGAAUUUUUGUUUUUGCCUGCUGCUUGUUCCAACUUGCUCACGGUCCUACAUUAUGAAAUUACUAUUAUGUAUAUAGUAAAUACUAUAACCGAAAUAAUUAUAAGAGUUUGGAAGUACGUAAUACCUCUCCUUUCUUUGAAUUCCAGAAUCUAACCGCAUCUUCGCUUUGGUACCUCAGUAUUCCCGGUGGGACAUUUCGCAGUUUCUCUUUGAGGCUUAUAUCUUUCUUAAAAUAUUCUUUCUUUGAAGUGCUUUUAUAGUCUCUCCAUUUUUUUCCCAAAGCCUUCUUGAUAUAAGUAUUUGAGACCUCUAAAGCAAAUCUCUCCUAAAAAAACACAAGUUUAGAAAGUAAAUAUAAAUGAAACUUAAACCAAAGUAUUAUAAAUUACAUUCAUGUUUUGUUACCUUAAUAUUAUCGAGAGCUUGAUUUUUAUAUCUAUCAGGAAUUUGAUGCCAUGAUUCAUAUUUUAUAGGCAACAUAUUGGCAUUUCGUGCUAUAAUGCCCAAAUAUCCUGCUAAAAGUCGAGCUUCUGAUCCAACAGGCUGACCAAGAUUGUUUCUAGAUACUUUGACAUGCUCGACAGGAUUUAACUCGUAUAAAUCUUUAAGUAGUGUAUGUCCUCGACCUUUGCGCGUCCCACAACUUUCAACUGAAAAAUGGUAUAUUAUAAUAUAAGAAUUUGGAAAAGAAAUCAAUAAUAAAAGUCAACACGCAUGCAAAUUAAAUUUAACAUUACUUUGAAUUUCUACAGGCUCGUUAGGUGUUUCCGGAACAUUCAAAGAUCCAAUAGCAGUUUGUUGUUCACCAUUUGUUUCUUCCGAAUUUGGAGUAUUCUGAACAGUACUUAGAUCUCGUAAUCUUCUUUUAGGCAUUUUUUCUGCAAUACACAUAAAAUAGUUGAAAUUUUAGUAACUAAUUACAACAAUAAUAGUACAUAUAAAACAGUUGAAAUAUUUAACAAUACUAAGAUUUAAAUUAUAAUAUUAAAUAUAAUUAAAAAAUUAUAAAAUCUUAUUACAUCAUAAUUCGUAAAUAUCUUCAUCCACAUCAUAAUUGCUUAGUUUUUAGUGUCAUUUGGUCCAAAAAUGCCGUUAUUGCUCAGUUUUUUGCGAUGCUUUAUUGUAAACGCCGCUAAUGUAUAAUCUUUGCUGCGUUUUUUGUCCAAACGCCACUAAAAACGCUGCUAAAGCCCUAUUUUCCUGUAGUGAAUUCACUGGUUUGAAAUUGUAGAUGACAGGAAACAUUUUUUGUUGAAUUAUAUUAGAUUAAAUUGUUAUAUUUACUUCGGUAAGAUUUAUUGUUUCUGUCCAUUGAACUUACUAAGCUUCAAAAAGCUUACUUGUGUUCAUUUUUGUUUCUUGUAGAUACUUCUGAAGGUUGGACAAUCGGAUCAGCACUCAAGUCACACUAUCCCUCCGAUUUUAGUAGUUUUCAAACGUUUAUUUUGGAUUAUAUGGCAUGUAAUAGGUUGUUAUGUCGAUAACCUCGUUUGAUAUGUGUAUAUAUAUAUAUCUAUAACGCAUGUAAUUAGUUAAUCUUUUAAUCGAUGUUGUUUUGUAAUGUGAUGAUUGUUACAUGAUUGCUAGGUUUGGUGGUGAAUAUAGUUCAUUUUGUGAAGUUCUAGUUAAGUUUUUGGUAAGCUUUGCUAGGAAUAAAUAUGAUACAUGUUUGAUCUUAACUUUAUAAGGUUAGGUAUUUAGCUCAAAAUUGAUAAGAUUAUAUAUUUUGAAUGGAUUAAUCGUUAAUGAUUUAUAUGUUUGUAUAGAUGUGUAUACUUACGGUACCAUUGAGAGUACAUUGGUUAGAUAUUUAAGAUGGUUGAUUUAGCAUGAUUUGAGCAUGUUUAAUGGAAUUUUGAAUAAGUCUAAUGGCUGGUAAAUGGAUUGCUUAGUGUCUAAUAAACCUUGAAAUGGUAAAUUUGAUGUCUAAGGUUCAUUUAGGUGCACACGGCCUGGGAUACGGGUUGCCACACGGCCGUGUGCCACACACAGUCUAUGACACGGCUGUGUGUAACAAGUUAGUGAGUCACACGAUCUGCGACACGAUCGUGUGUAUCAAGUCAGAGAGUUACACUGUCUAGCACACAGUCUGUGACACGGUCGUGUGUAUCAAGCUAGUGAGUUACAUGAUUUAAGACACAGGCUGGAACAUGCCAUGUGUCCCAAUUUUGAAUACUCACAUGGUCUGGGCUAUGUCACACAACCGUGUGUCCCCUUUUUUAAAAUUUUUCAUAUUUUCCUGAAAUUUCCUAACUUGUUUCAAAUUAGUCCCUGAAAGUUUUAAAAUUAUUUCUUUAGUCCAUUUAAGCUCGAUUUAAGCCUCAUAAAUGUAAGUUAUUAUUGUAAUUUAAUUACUUUAUGGUGUUUGAGAAAUUAUAUUGUAAUGCUCAUGAUUUUUACUUGUUUAUUUAUGUUAACUUGCAGUAGAAUUCUCGUAAUCUCUAUUCCGGUGACGGAUACAAGUGUUACAUAAAUUGUUGUUGUUCAUCAAUUGUUCACAGGAAAUUAUGAAUACAUACACGUUUAAUUUCAUAAAAUAUUCAUAGCUCUAUAUUUCAAGUUGCACACUAUAUUACCUACUGGAUUAACAGUCUUUUCAAAAAAGCACUCAACUAUAAAGUUGACUAAUAUAUGUCCUUUUAAGGUUGUUCUCAGGGUGAACUCCAUGCCAAAUUCAGCUAACUCGAUACUCUACUUCUUCACCCUUCUCGAAGUAUCAGCUUUAGAUAAAACUUCCUUUUUACCAACAUAUCAUUGACAUAAACUUCAAGACCAUGCCCUAUCUACUUCUUAAAAAUCCUAUUCACCAGUCUCUACUAGGCUACUCCGACAUUCUUGAGGCUAAAAGGCAUGACCCGAUAGCAGAACAACCCCUCCUCAGUGAUGAAAGUUAUUUUCUCCUAGUUAUCUUGAUCCAACAAAAUUUGGUUAUAACCCGAAAAGGCAUCCAUGAAGCUCAUGAGCUUGUGAUCUGCAGAAGCAUCAACCAAACGGUCAAUUGAGGGUAAAGGGAAGCUGUCCUUAGAGCACAUUUUGUUGAGGUUGGUGGAAUCAAUACACAUUCUCCAUUUGCCAUUUUCCUUUUUCACCAUAACCAUAUUUAAGACCCAAUCUAGAUACUCAAUUUCCCUAAUAAAACUUGCCGACAACAAUUUGGCUACCUCUUGCCUCACGGCUUCUACUACCUGCGGAGCAAACUUUCUCUUUUUCUUCUUAACAAGCUUGGCUUCAAGAAGUACAUUUAUCUUGUAGACAAUUACCUACAAGUCAAUCCCUGGCAUAUCUGCUGCUGAUUAGGCAAAAACAUCGAAGUUCACUUUCAAAAACUGAACCAAAAUGUCAUUUUCUUCAUGUAAUAAUGUUGAUGAAAAUUUAAUUUUCUUUUGUUCAUCAUCGUAAAAUAGUUGUAAAAUCUUUGUAUGCUCUACUACUUCAGGUUUCUUACUUCUCUCUUCAUCCAUCACAUCUAGUCUGUCUAAGUCUAAGGCUUAACUAACCAACUUUGUGCUUUAUGAACUCUGCCCCUCGGUUGUGGACUCUCGUGCCUGCUUCACAGAUAACAUGUAACAUUGUCUCUUUGUUUGCUGGUCAGAUUGCCUGAACCCAAUCAUUAUCCUUAUCGAAAAUUUGAUCUUCAUACAAAAUGUCGACACUACCAUCUUCACUGUUCUCAUAAUUGGGCGCCUGAAAAUGGCAUUAUACGCCAUAGGAUGGUCCAUGAUAAAAAACUGGACAUAUUCUGUAGUCGUAUGCUCACCAUCUCCCAUGGUGACUAGUAAAGUGGUAGAAUCACUUACCUUAGUUGGGUGGUUCGCGAAACCAUAUAGUGGACUGGCCUUGGACAAAGCAUGUUCCUUCCAGCCUUUCUUCUGAUAAGCCUCCUAGGUUACAACCUCUAUCGCACUCCCACUGUCGACCAAUAUUCUUCUCACUUCAAAACCUACGAUCGUUGCAGAUACUAUCAUUGGUUUAUUUCUUUCUUCAUCACACAUGAACUCCUCAUUGUCAUUACCAAACUUAAUAUUCCAUAUUCCCUGUUAACAUGCCUUUUAGAUGGAUAUACUAUCAUAACACUCCUCAUAUGGGUUUUUCUCAUCGCAUUAGAACUUGCCCAGAACUCAUCUAUGCCUACAAUCACAUGGAUAGUACCUCUGACCUUUUGUUUACCCUUAGGAUCGCCCUGCGAACUCUAACCCUGCUAGAAAGUACAUUGAUCCACAAACUCAGCAAGCUCACCAUUUCUCACUGCCUCUUCGAUAGCAUCUUUCAAAGUAAAAUAAUAUUCGAUAUUGUACCCCACAUCAUUAUAGAAAGCACACCUAUCCCUGGAAUUUGACCUCUUGGUACUCUGCCUCAUAAGAGAUAGUUUAGGCAGGCUACCUAAACUCUUUCCUAGUUCAAUAUGUAUGUACGAGUAGUGUUUAAUGGAGUGUAAGCCUCAAACCUACCUUAAGAUAUAUACCUUCUUGUUUGCUUGGGUUGAGAUCCCUAAGGAGUUUUGGAAGAAUUACCCUAUGCCUGUGUUCUCUGUUGUCUAUCACCUCGGCAUGCAGAGCUUGGUUGGGUUACCCCUACCUACUGCGAGCUCCUUCUUUCUUUCAAAACUGUCUACCAUCUUCUUGAAAUGUGCUAUGCAUACAAGUUAGCCAAAGUCCGGGGCUUGUUACCCUAAGGAGUAUUGUACAUGUUCAUUUUGCACCCCGUGAUUAAGGCAUCGAUAGCCCAUUGGUUCUCAAUGUUCUUCAUAUUCAGUGUUACCGCAUGAAAUCGCUUCACGUAAUCUUAGAGAGACUCCGUUUCUCUCUAUUUUACUAACAUUAAUCUCAUAGGUAUGCUCAUGAUCGUUCUGUAAGCCCUGAACCUUCUUAGAAACAUCUGAACCAAUUGGGAAAAACUUCGGAUUGAGCCUUGAAGAAGAGAUAAGUACCAAUCAUUCGCACUUCCCUUAAGCGUUGUGGAAAAAGCUUUACACUUCGCAGGGUCUGAGGCUCCAAUUACAUUCAUAUAGUCGUUAUAUUGCAUCAAGUGGGCUCGUGGGUCUCUCUUACCCUUGAACAUGUCUUUUAAGACCUUAAAAUCACGCAGUAGAUUUAUUGCUGCUACCUCCGGGGCCAAUGGAUUGUUAGAAUAGAAAAGGUCCAUGUCUCUAGACUCAGGAUGCAAUGUCCUCACAUCUUGCCACAAUGCAUCCAUAUCAUUUUUCCAUUCCCUCACAUGCAAGCCCGGGCCUUCAACCUGCAUAGUCAUAUUAUCGUAAAAGUUAGAAUUAUCAGAUUGUACCUUUCUUUUAAAUUCUUCAUUUCGUUUCAAUAACUCUUGUUGAAAAGUCUGUUGUUGUUCAAACCGUGCAUUUUGUGCAGCCAUUUCUUCCCUCAUAAACUUCAUCUACUCUUGAAGAGCAAGGAAUUGUUGCGUUGACGCUUUUUGGUUGGAAGGAAGUGACAACCCGCGACCAGAGGGAAAGUUUAAGUCGAAUAGGCUUGAAACUCUCGGGUGAGCCAUAUUACCCAGAUUUUACGACCGAUCAGCAAACCAGUCAACAAACAAGUCUGUUCCAGCAAGUUGGCUACCAUAUCCCGAGGCUCCAAGUUAUCCAGAUGAAAGAUCGAAAGGGAAAUUUUCAUUCGGGUAAGCCAUCGUAACUUUGACAAUUUUUUAUCAAACUGAAAAGAAAUUCGUUGGUCGAAAAUAUGUGCACGCUCACAGUGUCAAUUGUUGAAUAUUUUUUCGUUAUGUCUCAUUGAAAGGGACAAUAAAAUAUUUAUACACAUGAUUAUUAUUCAUGGAAUUGACAUUCUUGGUAGGCUCUAUGUAUGUUGGAUACGUGUGUUGUUUUGGUCUGCUUCUAGGCCCCCACAUGCGAAAUUUUAAGCACAUGCGAACUGGAAUUGUGAACUACCGUUGCGAGCUCCUUUGGCGAACCCUCACCCCUUUGGCGAACCCUCACUACAAGGUCUACAUGCAUCUAAUUGGUUGGGCCCAACUGGGCCGCGGGUAGGCAAUCUAAAUUUUAUCUCGGUUUCAUAUUGGUGAACACAAUUACGUAACAAAAGUACAAGGACUUAAUAUUUAAAUAUAAAAAUUUAGAGGUUAAUUUUUUAAUUUUAAGAGGACAAAGAACUCAAAAGCAUAUUUAAACCUUUAUUCGCUCUCAACAAAGAAUUUGUUUUUUUUUUUUAAAUACCGUAGUGAAGAAAAGGAGACUUUUUCUGUCAGAUUAGGUUUCUCUCUCUGUUAGAGUCCUAUACUCUAAACUCUUAUCUCUUUUGCGGCUAGGGUUUUUCUUUCUACAGUACCUCUUCUAACUUUUUUUUUUAAAUUUAUUAGAAGAUUGGUUUGGUUUCAUAACAUAAAAAUCUAAUGGAAGUUUUGUAAGAGUAAGGGAUUUUUUGGUUAUUAUAAAAGAAAGAUUCUUAGGGGUUUGGAAGUGAUUAGUGUGGAUUUUUCAUUCAAAAAAAGAAAUGGCUGGUUUGAACCCUUUUGAUUUGUUGGGGGAUGACGACACUGGGGAACUAUCAUUGCUGAUCGCUGCUCAGCAAAAGGCCGUCGCAGCGGCCACUGCCACUGCUGCUGCCCCAAGGAAGGGCCCAGCAAAACCUCAAGCUAAGACGCUGCCUGCAACUCAGGCUAAGCUUCCCUCCAAGCCUCUCCCUCCUGCUCAGGCUGGUAAGUUUUCUCUAUCAAAGUGUCUCAUUAUUUUUAGCUCUCUGUAUUGGCUCUUGAGUUUACCCGAUUGUGUUAAGUUCAAGUUGCCUUUUCUUAAUGGUCGAACUCUGGGGGGAGGGGGGUUUGAGUGGGUUUAUGUUUAUUAUGCUUCGGUUUCGUUUCUUGUAAAGUGCAGUUGGACUCUGAUUGUUAAAAGAGUAUUUGUUGUUGGUUAUUUACUUGGAAUAUAGUCAUUGAGAGUUUCUUAUCUGUAUAGACUUACUUCUUAUAGUGAACAGAGCAAAAGAUUCCGGAACGCAUAUUGGUUUGUUGCUGUUAUUUCUUUUCUAAAAUGAAAUCCAAUGCUGUCAAGUUGCACUCAAGCUACUAGAAUCCUUAUAUGUGGUAUAAAAGCUUAAGAUAUAUGGUAAUGAUAAUAAACCUCUAAAAGAUAGAUCAAACUUUAAUCUCAUUCUCCUACAAAAAAAUGAAAUGUACAAUUUUUUGUUGGCCAAUGUGCAUGGUUUUUCUUUUUUCUUUUUUUAUCUCAUGUCUGUUGUUGAAUAAUCAAGCAUUGAGAAGUAGAGUGUUUGGUAGUGUUCUUCUAUUCUUAGUAAAGGUAAAAUUAAUGAAAAAUAAAAUAAAAAAUGAAUGAACUAAAGAAAACUUCUAAUCCAAUGCAUCUUGCCCAAGAGGUCUUGAGGCGCUUUUUUUGUUUGAUGCUGAGGCGCAGUGCCAAAGGUGCAUGCCUUAACUAUAGAAAUGAAAUCUGCAUUCUGUGGGGAACUUUUGUCUUUUAUAUCAUAUUCUCUGAAAGUGUCAAUUGGUGUUCCAUCAAAAAGGAGUUCUUUUUUGCUCCUUUUCAAAGUGCUUAUGCGUUGGUAUGCAAUUUAUUUUUACUGAAGCUUGAUAGUUGUAGCUUUGAUCUCAUCUUGAUAGUUAUCACAGUUAGUCAAAUUAUUUUUUUAUCUAAUAGUCAAUUAUAGUUUCUUUAUAGCUCCCUUGGGCUUAUCACUGAUGUCUUCACGUUCUUUUAAAGUGAGGGAGGCAAAGAAUGAAGGUGCUCAUGGCGGAGGCCGUGGUGGGCGAGGAUAUGGACGUGGUCGUGGUGGUAGCAGUGGAUACAGACGUGAUUUUGCAAAUGAUGAGAAUUCCUUCAGCAGUAGUGCUGUACCUGAAGAUGGAGAGAGUGGAAAACCCUCUGAAAGGCAUGGCUAUGGUGGUCCUCGACCUUACCGUGGUGGUCGCCGUGGCGGUAUCAGUAAUGGGGAAAAUGCAGAUGGGGAGCGACCUCGCAGGUUGUAUGAACGCCGUAGUGGGACU